AUAAUGCGCAUCACUGAGAGUACCCCUUACUGGUACCCUCGACAAGAAGACUAGCACGCGGAGGACAUUCUAAUCACUGUCAGAAUGCUGCUGACUUUCAAAUACACCUCUGCCACCUGCUAGCUACAUCAAGAGAAAUUACAUCAAAAUUCAGCUUGGGAGAGAGCACCCCCAUUUAUCUCGCUAAGUAUUUCUACCUAUCUUUAUACUUAUAUUAUGUUAGAAUAUUAAAAUACAUAAACUAUGAAAAACCAAAUAAAAAUUUUGUGUUUAUAUAUAUAUAUAUAUCUUUUGCUUAGUGUGUUUAAUAAAUAAAUAAAGUGGCUAUGCUAAUCUGAAUCUUAAUAAUAAAACUCUAGCAUGGAUAUGAUGAAUAUUUGCUCUGCCUAAUUUGUAAAUUUGAAGUUCUCUCUCAAGUUUAGACAUAACUGUUAUAAUUUAAAGCUUGCUCUAGAUCUAAACUUGUGGGAUGAAAACUUGAUCUGAAAUCUAAGUUGUUAACGGAUAUGAUAUGGGAAGGUUGAACUGCUGUUUAUCUGUUCCUAGAGAUGCUAGAAUUUUGGAGAAUUUUAUCUUUAAAAAUCUUUAAAAUGUUGCAUGAUGAGUUCCUGUAUGAUGAGAGUUUAAAAUCCUACCACAGCCACAUAUACAUGCUUAUUAGACUAUGAACCAUACAUUUACUUUUUACUGCUUAUGAGCAUUGAGUGUAGUCAAGCUGUGUAGACCCUUAGGAGCUUGUCAUGCGGUUAAAAUCAAGAUUCACUUGCACGUUCACUCAUAUAUGCUGCUUCUACUCCAGAAGUACGCAUCCACAUACAUCCACUCCUUUCCAUCUCGAGAUUCACCCAAAAUUAUUCUACUCCUAUCCGGGAGAGAAUAGCCAAAAACAUUAUCCCAUUCCUGUUUUUCCUUGUGAAAUAAAUGCUCAAGCUAUUUUGGUUACUACCACUUGCUACAUUAUUCCAGAAGGGUGAGUGCUCUGAAAAAAAAAGAAAAACACGAGGAAAUAAAAAUGGGCAAGUGCCCGGAACCUCGAAAGAAAAAAGAAAAAGUGACACGAGAGGUAAAAAUGGACAAGUGUCUGACAGUAGAAUUAGGGGUACAAGAUACCCACCCGAAAGAAAAGAAAAAUAAAAUAUAGAGCAUCUCAUUCUCCUCAAAAAGCUUUAAAGUGCAAGAAAGAUAUGUAUCCUCUCAAAAGAGCAAAAGUAGAAUUAGACUUUCACCAUUGUUUUCACCAUUAUCACUAUCAUCACCAUACACCAUUCAUUCGCCACACAUGCACAUCUUGAUUUAACUUAUUGACUUGUUUCUCUGGAUCCAUGGUUUGUCUAUGCAAUAAAUGUCUUGUAAGUAUGUAUUAGCUGUCUCCCACCUAUGAGCUCCAGAUAUCAAAACCUUAUUAGAGUAGGGUGAGAGAGAAGGCAAUGUCACUAUGCCUCAUACCACAAAUACCACAUACUUUGAGAGAAGGCAUAUACCAUCACUGCCUUGGUAAGGAUUCAGAAAUACCACAAAAGAGAGAAUUGAGAGAGUCAUACAAGGAAUCUCUGAGUUUUAUUUGAAAAUCUGUAAAAACUCCAGAGCUAUAGUUGAUCAAAGAACAAGAGACAUGGUGCUUGACUUGACCGUUCUAUCUUUUAACUGCUCAAGACACAAGUGACGGUUGCAAGCCCCAUGGUGAAAGGUAAUAUGAGUAAGUUUUAAAUCUUAACAACUUACCUUAACCUAGAGAUGAGAUCUUGUUUGAAUGCAUGAGUACCUUUAAGGCAUAAAACCACUGCAAAAACUCUUGAGUCCAUCCUUGCUCAGGGACGAGCAAGAGGUAAGCUUGGGGGAGUUGUUGACGGUCCUUAAGUACCAAAUAUAAUCAUCAAAUAAACAAAGAAAAGGAUUCAAAUGAAAUCAAAAUCUAGACUUAGGUUUUUAUCUGACAGAAUUCUAUGAGUUUUGGUGUUUGUCUAUUUUUGCAGGGGGUUAUUAGGAAAUACGGAAGAAAGGCCCGCACGUCGGGAUUACAUAGAGAUAUUAACGUGUCGCGCAAUUAUCUUACAUCUAGAAGACUCCAGCCGAACGGGGCCAGAGGCAGGGUGCCCGCCCUCCUGCCCUGGGCGCCCGCCUUGACUUAGAGCCCAAUCAGGACUCUUUCUCUCCGGAGAUCUCCACCGACCUAAAGGAUCAAGAAUAACCGUUCAAUCAAUGUCGGUUUGAUCCGACGGCCCAGGUUCACUUGAGGGGACUAUAUAACCAGACCCCCUAGCCCCUGGAGGAGGCAACCCCUUGAUCAUUAUUCAUUAUUCGUAGACAGAGCAAAAGCUAGGGUUUAGAGAUGAGAGCUCUCCUCUCUUCUCUAAACUAGAGUAGAUCUAGAUAGUAGCGAGAUGGAGAGCGAAGGAGGAUUAGAGGAGAGGCCGGCCUGUCGGUUCUUCCUCCGGUUGUACUUCGUCAUGAUCAAGCUCUAAUCAAGCCUGCUCAUGGGAUGACUCUGGUAAUCUACUUUUAAUUCAUUAUGCAAUUACUAAUCAUGUAUGUUCUAGUUCACAACUCUUUUGAGUACUUCUAAUCUAUAGGACGCUAUAGGUUAGAGUUGUAGUAUAAUUAUAAGCGUGGUGCUUACACCUAGAUUACUUGUGGAUAUCCCCUGUCUAGCUGGAUCGUGUGGUAGGCCGCGUAGGUGACAAUUACGUUGGUCCUCUGUAGUCCACCUCUCGUUAGCAGGACGGGUAGGGUUUAUCGGCCUAAGGAUAAGCAUCCUUUGUGGUGUACUCUUAUCACGUGGUUCGUCCCAGACAUAGACAUACCCCUUUGAAGUAGAGAAACCAUAGUUAUCCUCUCUAUUCUGCAACCAUCGCCCAUAUACUAGAAUUGCUCUACUCUCUAUUCCCAUAUUAUCACCUAUUGUUAUCUUACCUUUAAUAUUAUUCUUAUUCAAUUCUACCAUCUUUCCUAUUUCCACCUAUCUAUCUAUCUUGGUUAAGUUAGAGCGUAGUUGAUUCUCCCGUUUCCCUGUGGAUACGAUAAAACCUUUAACCGGAUAAAAGCUUCAACGGUAUCCGUGCGCUUGCGGAUUAUCUGUGUGCGUAUAAAUACCAUAGCACACUCUAGUGCCAUGCUGGGGAUGACAACCUAGUAUUCAAGUGGUGUUAGCAAGUGUCAACAGCUACUACUGACCUUCUGAAGGUCAAGAGAGGCGAUCCAGGAUGCCCCGUCAUCCCGAUCUCCAUCGGCAUGGUGGACUUCCCAGAAGCACUCUGUGACUUUGGCUCUAGUGUCAACAUUGUGCCGAGGGUACUCUAUUAAAAAUUCUUUACAUAUCCUUUAUUAAAACAACCAUGUGUUUGCAGUUUGCAGAUGAGACGAUCAGUUUUCCAAAAGGAAUAUUGAGGAACCUUUGCGUCCGAGUUGGUACCUUAUACGCCCUAGCAGACUUCGUGGUGAUAGAGACCGAUAAUGAUGAGAGGGCACCCAUCAUCUUAGGGAGGCCAUUCUUGAACACCUCGGGAGCUGUCAUCUACGCUAGUGCUGCCAAGAUCAGUUUCUACAUCGAAGGGAGGAAGGAGACAUUUUCCUUCAAGAACAAGACUACACAAAUCCCAGAUCAAUCCAGACGUGAAUCAAGGAAGAGGACCAACAGGAGGAAUAGGAACAAGCAAGUGUGGACCGAGUCAGCUAAGAUGGUCACUGCAGUUCAAGGAGGUCAAGAUCAUCAACUUAAGUCACCAUUUUUUACCAAGAAGGAUGACCCUGGAAUGCCAAGAAUCUAUUGCUCCAUAAAUGGAUACAACUUCUACAAGACGACUUGCGACACCGGAUCGGGCGUCAACAUAACGGCCGCAGUCACCUAUCGGCUCUUGUUCGGAAACAUGCCCUUAAAACCAAUAUACAUUCAGCUCCAGAUGGCAGAUCAAACAUUUCGAGAGGUUAAAGGUAUAGUAACUGAUGUCCGUAUCAAAAUAGACGAUCAUUUUGUCUACACAGACUUUCAGGUCAUUGACAUGGGAGAAGACGAGUACGAUCCACCCAUCAUCCUUGGAAGACCGUUCCUCAGCACCGUUAAAGCAAUCAUCUACAUUGGAACCGGAGAAGUCCAUAUGCACUUCCCCUUAGAAAAGGUACGCCGAUAUUUUACUGACCCUAACUAUAUCGUUGAAGACUCUAAGCAGGUCAGGACAAGAAAACGACGCAACUGCAACCAGAGGAGGGAAAUCAUCAAGGACGGAUGGGCAGACUAUGAAGGAGAAGUGAUAAGGUCAGAAGACAUACAGUUUAAACAGAAUUAUCCAGAGGAGACUGUAGCACCGAGUCAGGAAUGGAAAGAGAAGAUAACUAUACAUGAAGAGGAUGCGCUGCCGGAAGUACCGACUCCGCCACCCAACGAAUCCCAGGACAACUGAGAAAACAGAGAGUCCCGUUCGGAGGACUUAAAAACACCGAACGCCUUGCCAAGAGGUAAACUUGGUAGUUAUCCUUUCCCUUUCAAUUAUUUUAAACAGUUGAGUCAAUCAUGUUUAUACUAUCCUAAAAAGAAAAUAAAAAUGUUAAAAAACAGUAAGCCCCAUGCGAGUAUACGAGUGGCAUAAAACCCAUAAGUACAAUCACUGUGGUGGCAUAAAAAUAAAAUAAAUAUUUCUUUUUCUGCUUUAUAAAAUGAAAAUAUAAAAAUAGGGAGUAAUAGUUAUUGAGGAGGCUCAAUAUGAUGAAGGCUAAAUAUUUAUGCUAACACUUAAUCAGUUCCACAAAGCUUUCUUGUCUCUUUGAGCUCCAUAGAAUUUAAGAAUCAAGAAGACUAGUAGACGGAGGUCAUUCUAAUCGCUGUCAAAAUACUGCCGACUUUCAAAUACACCUCUGCCACCUGCUAGCUACAUCAAAAGAAAUUACGUCAAAAUUCAGCUUGGGGGAGAGCACCCCCAUUUAUCCCGCUAAGUAUUUCUAUCUAUCUUUAUACUUAUACUAUAUUAAAAUAUAGAUAUACAUAACUAUGGAAAACCAAAUAAAGAUUUUGUGCUUAUAUAUAUCUUUUGCUUAGUGUGUUUAAUAAAUAAAUAAAGUGGCUAUGCUAAACUGAAUCUUAAUAAUAAAACUCUAGCAUGGAUAUGAUGAAUAGUUGCUCUGCCUAAUUUUCAAAAUUGAAGUUCUCUCUCAAGUUUAGACAUAACUGUUAUAAUUUAAAGCUUGCUCUAAACCUAAACUUGUGGAAAGAAAACUUGAUCUGAAGUCUAAGUUGUUAAUAGAUAUGAUAUGGGAAGGUUGAGCUGCCGUUUAUCUGUUCCUAGAGAUGCUGGAAUUCUGGAGAAUUUUAUCUUUGAAAAAUCUUUAAAAUAUGGCAUGAUGAGUUCCUGUAUGAUGAGAGUUUGAAUUCCUACCACAGCCAUAUAUACAAGCUUGCUAGACUUUGAGCAACACAUUUACUUUUUACUGUUUAUGAGCAUUGAGUGUGGUCAAGCUGUGCAGACCCUUAGGAGCUUGUCAUGUGGUUAAAUCAAGAUUCACUUGCACGUUCACUGAUACAUGCUGCUUCUAUUCCGGAAGUAUGCAUCCACAUAUAUCCACCCAUUUCCAUCUCCAGAACCACCCCAAAAAUAUUCUACUCCUAAUCCGGGAGAGAAUAGCCAAAAAUAUUUAUAUUUUCCCCUAUGAAAUAAAUGCUCGAGUUAUCUUGUUACUACCACUUGCUAUAUUAUUUCAAGAAAUGAGUGCUCUAAAAAAAAGAAGAAUAAAAGAUACGAGGAAAUAAAAAGGGGCAAGUGCUCGGAACCUCGAAAGAAAAGAAAAAGUGAGACGAGAGGUAAAAAUGGACAAGUGUCCGACAGUAGAAUUAGGGGUACAAGAUACCCACCUGAGAGAAAAUGAAAUAUAGAGCAUUUCAUUCUCCUCAAAAUGUUUCAAACAGCAAGAAAGGUAUGUAUCCUCUCAAAGAGCAAAAGAUUUAGACUUUCACCAUUGUUAUCACCAUCAUCACCAUAUACCAUUCAUUCGCCACACAUGCACAUCUUGAUUGGACUUAUUGAUUUGUUUCUUUGGAUCCAUGGUUUGACUAUACAAUAAAUGUCUUGUGAGUAUGUAUACUUUAUCUCCCACCUAUGAGCUCCAGAUAUUAAAGCCUUAUUAGAGUAGGAUGAGAGAGAAGGCAAUGUCACUAUGCCUUAUACCACAAAUACUACAUACUUUUUGAGAGAAGGCAUAUACUAUCACUGCCUGGGUAAGGAUCCAGAAAUACCACAGAAGAGAGAUCUAAGAGAGUCAUACAAGGAAUCUCUGAGUUUUAUUUGAAAAUCUGCAAAAACUUCAGAGCUAUAACUGAUCAAGAAUAAGAGACAUGGCACGUCACUAGACCGUUCUAUCUUUUAACUACUCAAGACAAAAGAGACGGUUACAAGUCCCAUGGUGAAAGGUAAAAUAAGUAAGUUUUAAGUCUUGACAGUUUACUCUAACUCAUAGAUGAGAUCUUAUUUAGAAGCAUGUGUACCGUCAACUUUUAAAGGUAUUGCAACAACUUCUGAUCCAUCGCUUAGAUUAUCCUUGCUCAGGGACAAGCAAGAGGUAAGCUUGGGGGAGUUUGUUGACGGUCCUUAAGUAUCAAAUUUAAUUAUCAAAUAAACAAAGAAAAGGAUCCAAAUGAAAUCAACAUCCAGACUUAGGGUUUUAUCUGACAGAAUUCUAUGAGUUUUGGUGUUUGUCUAUUUCUGUAGGAGGUUAUCAGGAAAUACGGAAGAAAGGCCCACAUGUCGGGAUUACAUAGAGAUAUCAACAUGCCGCGCAAUUAUCUUACAUCUAGAAGACUCCAGAAGCCACGGAAACGAAGCGGAGGCGAAACAGGGCCUGGCCCUGGGCGCCCGCCCAGGAGACUAGGGCGCCCGCCCCCUGUUAGAGUCCAAUCAGGACACUCUUUCGGGAUUACGCUCCACCGACCUAAAGGAUCAAGGAUAACCGUUCAAUCAAUGUCGGUUUGAUCCAACGGCCCAUAUUCACUUGGAGGGACUAUAAAACCAGACCCCCUGGCCCCUAUAGGAGAGAGCCUCUCAACCCUAAUUCAUUAUUCCUCAAGGGAGAAGAAGCCUCUGAUCAAGCCUAGAGCCACCACAACAAUUAGACAUCUAGAUUAGCAUAGCUAUAUAGGAUUAGAACUAGAAGGAGUCAAUCUUCGAUUGGUUUCCAGAUCUGUUAAGAGGAUUCUUGGUAAUUCUCUAGUUGUUCUUCUAAUUGUUCAUCUUUGUUCUUCAAUAUUAUGAAUAUGACUUUGUUCUACUUCAAUAUAUUGCUUAUGACUUUGCUCUACUUGUUUAUAUUCAAGAUUAUAUUGUUCUUAGUCUAUCAUAGUUAUAUACUUGGCUUAGUUAGAUUUCAUCUACAUACAUGUUUAGAAUCGUAUAGCGUUUCUCCAUCAGAUCCAUGGGUAAAUGAUAGAUAUUGUGCAGGCGUGUUGCUUAUAACGUAUUUAUCUGCGAUUGUACCCAAUAUGCCAGAUCACGGGGUAGUUCGUGAUAGUGACAGCUUCAUUGAUUCUUAUAUAGUCCCCCUCUCGUGUAUUGGGCUGGCAGAGCAACAUUAUUAUAGGGGAGUUAUUGCUAUGUUUCUCAUAUUCCUUGCUAAUAUCACUAUGCAUGGGCGUAGUCUUGUCUCACAAUGAUUGCUAAGUGUGCUUGCACUAACUAUGAUAUGCUAGACUAUAUAGUUGAGAAUAACUUAGGAAAUAUUCCUGUAGUUCGUUCUAAUUCCAUGCUAAUGACUUGCUAGAAUAUCUAAUUGAGGUGCUUAUCAUAUUUAUUACGUGGCUAAGUUAUGCUGAUCAGAUUAAUUACCUUUGUCACUAUUCAUUACUUUAUAUCCUUUAUGUGACACUUACCCCAGUAUGAAAGAGUUAGAUAGUUGUUCUCAAUUAUACAUGCAAUGAUAGAUACUCAAUCUCAUAUUCCAUUCUAUAAUCAACAUUGAUGAUUGCUAAUCCCUUCCCAAUGGUAAAAAUAUAAAUAACGAUACCUGGAAUACUUCUCGGUUAAAAUGCUACAUCGGUAUUAAUCUGUGCGCUUGCAGAUCCCAUUCAUUAUUUAUUUAGAUGAGCAAUUGCAUAUUUCAAUACCGCGUCUCUCAUGUCAUGCUGGGGAUGACAACUUGGCUUAAGUGGUAUGAGGGAUAGGUUUUGCAUUUUUGCAACCGUUAUCAGCAUUAGAAAACUAAGUCUACUUUUGGUAAUGAUGUUAAGAAUACCCAACAAUCACGAGCUCCGGUCCCGCGUGGCCGCAGGGCAUGCAGCGCCGUGCACGCGUCCUCGCCGCCACACAGCUGCUUGCUGGCCACGUCACCGCGCAACAUGGAUGCCCGCGACCCCUUCACCUCGUCCUCUUAAGCGCCCGCGCGGCCGACCUUGAGUUCCCUUGCUUCGGCGACCGAAAACACACGACGACACCCCACCGCCCAAUACGCCCAGUGUGUUUCCCCUCUGACCAAAUUGAGCUCUCCAACAUCUCCGCCACCCCAUUGCGAACCCAGCGUACGCCCAGGAACACUCCCUGCCCCUCUCAAUCACCCGGACUUCCUCUUCUUCUGCAACUCCGACCGACUUCCACCGUGAGCUCCCUUCCUCGUGGUCAGGCCAUUCCACAAGGUAUCAAGCCAUGGUAAGAGAUGUUAGAGCUUCACCGUGCUGUCCCGUAGCUCAUGUGCUCGAUUCUUGGUCUUACGCACGUGCAGGUCCACCGGAACGACCCCGCCGAGCCCAGAGCGCCCGCCCGAAGACACUGCCGCCGUCGCUAGCACCCUCUGCUGCCUCUCCCGCCGUGGUGACAUGAGCACAAUGGUCCUUGCUCUACCCUGAAGCUACCCAAUGUUGACGGUCCUUAAGUAUCAAAUUUAAUCAUCAAAUAAACAAAGAAAAGGAUCCAAACACAACCGACACCCGGACUUAGGGUUUUAUCUGAUAGAAUUCCACGAGUUUUGGUGUUUGUAUAUUUCUACAGGGGGUUAUCAGGAAAUACGGAAGAAAGGCCCACACAUCGGGUUUGCAUAGAGAUAUUAACGUGUCGUGCAAUUAUCCAACAUCUAGAAGAGUCCAGAAGCCACAGGAACGAACGGGAGACCGAACGGGCCCGGGGGCAGGGCGCCCGGCCUCCCCCCUUGGGCGCCCGCCCUGGCCUGAGGGCCAAUCAUCUUCAUCUUCGCGGAUCAUGCUCCACCGACCUAAAGGAUCUGAUAGCCCAUAUUCACUUGGAAGGACUAUAUAAGCAGACCCCCUGGCCCGUGGAGGAGAGCACCUAUCUGAAACCCUAAUUCAUUUAUCCAUCUUGGGAGAAGAAGCCUCUGAUCAAGCCCUAGAGCCACCACAUCAAUAGAUCUCUAGUUUAGCAUAGCUACAUAGGAUUAGAACUAGAAGGAGUUAAUCUUCGAUUGGUUUCUGGAUCUGUCAAGAGGAUUCUUGGUAAUUCCUCUACUGUUCAAUUGUUCAUCAUUGUUCUUCAAUAUUAUGAAUAUGACUUUAUUCUACUUCAAUAUAUUGAUUAUGACUUUGCUCUACUUGUUUAUAUUUGCAAUUAUAUUGUUCUUAGUUUAUCAUAGUUAUAUGCUUGGCUUAGUUAGAUUGGAAUUAUAUACAUGUUUAGGAUCGUAUAGCGUUUAUCCAUGUGUACAGUGGGUAAAUGAUAAGUAUUGUGUAGGCGUGGUGCCUAUACCGUAUUUAUCUGCGAUUGUACCCUAUAUACCGGAUCGCGGGGUAGUUCGUGGUAGCGACAGCUCCAUUUAUUCUUAUAUAGUCCCCCUCUCGUGUAUAGGCAGAGCAACAUUAUAACAGGGUAGUGAUUGCUAUGUUUCUCAUCUUUCUUGAUAAUAUCACUAUGCAUGGGUGUAGUCCUGUCUCGCAAUGAUUGCCAAGUAUAAUUGCACUAACUAUGAUAUGCUAGACUUUAUAGUUAAGAAUAACAUAGGAAAUAUUCUUGUAAUACGUCCUAAUUCCAUGCUAAUGACUUGCUAGAAUAUCUAUUGAGGUGCUUAUCAUAUUUAUAUGUGGCUAGUUAUGUUGAUCAGAUUAAUUAUCUUUGUCACCAUUCAUACUUUAUCUAUCUUUUAUGUGACACUUAUCCCUGUAUGAAAGAGAUAGAUAAAUGCUCUCAAUUAUACAUGCAAUGAUAGAUACUCAAUUCUAUAUUCCAUUCCAUAAUCAACAUUGAUGAUUAGAAAUCCCUUCCCAGUGGUAAAAAUAUAAAUAACGAUACCUGAAAUACUUCCCGGUUAAAAUGCUACAUCGGUAUUAAUCUGUGCGCUUGUAGAUCUCAUUUAUUAUUCAUUCAGAAGAGCAAUUGCAUAUUUCAAUACCGCGUCUCUCAUGUCAUGCUGGGGAUGACAACUUGGAUUAAGUGGCAUGAGGGAUAGGUUUGGCAUUUUUGGCGCCGUUAUCAGAAAUAGAAAACUAAGUCUACUUUUGGUAGUGACUUUAAGAAUGCCCAACAAGCAUUUCUGGCGCCAUUGCCGGGGAAGGUUGAUUACUAAUUAGGAAUGAAUAUGGAAUUUUGAGUCAUCAUUCGCAUCACUAAUAUGAUUGAGAUUAUCAAUUCUCUGAUACAGUUUUACCAUCUAUUUUACUUUAUGCACGGUGAUGUAUGAAUAGAAGACAUCUUCCAGGAAAUUUUGUUGCCAACCCCGAAGCAUUAUUCAGAAAAACAAGAGCCAAGCUCAAGAAGGCAUCGUCAACACUUCAGCACGAAGCUUCAUCCAACCAAGAUGAUCGCCAAAGUUUCAUCUGGAAUUUGUCUUCAGAAUACGAAGUCAUGGCGAACAAAUCGAUCCGUGAGUUCUCAGCUCCCACUACGGACAACAUCCGUACUGGACCUGCUGCAGAGAUUGACGGCAACUUUGAGCUCAAGCCUAGACUUAUCAACAUGGUGCAAUCCAACCAGUUCUGUGGGAAGGCACACGAAGAUGCUAGUGCUCAUCUCCAACACUUCCUGAGAUUUGCAGCACAUUCACCAUAUCAGGAGUCCCUAGAGAUGCUAUACUACUUCGCCUCUUCCCAUUCUCACUGUUGGGGAGAGCGAAGCUGUGGUUCUACACUACAAAGGAGAAUAAUACUACGUGGGCACUCCGCUCCACAAACUUUCUGGCUAAGUUCUUUCCUAUGGGCAAGACCAAUGCUCUCCCUAGGGAAAUUUCAAGUUUUCAGCAACAACAUGAUGAAUCCGUUCCAGAAGCAUGGGAGCGCUUCCAAGACUACAUCCUAGAAUGUCCCCAUCAUGGAAUGGAGAGCUGGCUACUCAUGCAGACAUUUUAUCAUGGGCUCAGCAAUAGUGCCCGUGAGACCAUGGAUGCUGCAACUGGAGGAGCAUUCCUAUACUCACCAUACCACAAGCCACAGCUCUUGUGGAGAAGAUGGCGUCCAAUCAAGGCUGGAAUGAAGAAAGAACCUAGACACGCAGAGAGGUGGAGGUAUGCACCAACUCAAGGAGGUAGACAUGCUGUCUGCUAAGCUAGACCUGCUCAUGAAGAAGCUCGAUGAUAGAGCUGGAGAUAAGAAAGAAGUUAUGCACAUCUACGACUCUCACAUGACUUGUGAGGAGUGUGUUAAUAUUGGACACUCAGGCAAUCUCUGCCCUGAGAUGCUUGAGGAUGUCAACUACAUCAACAACAACAACAGCAACAACAACUAUUACAACCGUCCUCAACAAAAUCAAGGUUCGAAUCAACAGAGGCCUAACUACCUAGGUAAUUAUCAAGGUAACAAUUCUUACAAUAAUAAAAAUUUUCCACCUCUGAGAGAGUUAAUGUCUAAUCAAGGAAAGCUAAUGGAUAAUCUAUCUAAGAAAUUGGCAUCUAAUGAUAAAAUGUUAGAAAAUAUAAAUAAUAGAAUGAAUAAAUUCUCUACUACCAUCAGGAAUCAACUUAGCUUUAAUAAAAAGAUUGAAUCUCAGUUAAAUCAAAUAGCUGCUGCUGUUCCUGCUACUAACCCCAGUAUACCAUCACAACCAGAAGGAUUAGAAUCUGCAAAUCUUGUAGACAUGUUUGAUGCAGGUAACUACUGGAGUAACCCCGUCACGGAAGUUACUACUGACCUUCUGCCAGUCAAGAGAGGCGAUCCAGGACGCCCCGUCAUCCCGAUCUCCAUCGGCAUGGUGGACUUCCUAGAAGCACUCUGCGACUUUGGCUCUAGUGUCAACAUUAUGCCAAGGGUACUCUAUGAAAAAUUCUUUACAUAUCCUUUAUUAGAAACAACUAUGUGUUUGCAGUUUGCAGAUCGGGCGUUAAGUUUCACAAAGGGAAUUUUGAAGAAUCUCUGUGUCCGAGUUGGUACCUUGUACGCCCCAGCAGACUUCAUGGUGAUAGAGACCAGUAAUGAUGAGAGGGCACCCGUCAUCUUAGGGUGGCCAUUUCUAAACACCUCGGGAGCUGUCAUCUAUGCUAGUGCUGCCAAGAUCAGUUUCUACAUCAAAGGGAGGAAGGAGACGUUUUCUUUCAAGAACAAGACUGCACAAAUCCCAGAGCAACCCCGACAUGAACCAAAGAAGAGGACCAACAGGAGGAACAAGAACAAGCAAGUGUGGACCGAGUCAGCUAAGAUGGUCACUGCAGUUCAAGGAGGUCAAGACCGUCGACUCAAGUCACCGUUCCUAGCCAAGAAGGACGACCCAGAUAUGCCAAGCAUCCAUUGCUCCAUCAAUGGGUACAACUUCUACAAGACACUUUGCGACACUGAAUCGGGCAUCAACAUAAUGGCCGCAGUCACCUAUGUAACACCCUAGGUGUUAAGCAUGCAUUUAGCCCUAUCACAACAUGCAUAAGCAUUUUCAUCAAGCAUAGCAUCAUGAGCAUGUCAUUCAUCCCAAAACAUGAUUUUAUGUGCUUUAUUUCAUGUGUUUUAAUUAUGCUAAAAUAUGAUGCUUGCUUCCAAAAAUGUGAAAUAUUUAAACUAGGUUGAUUUAUGUGUAAGAAGAAUUUAGAGUAUUUUUGUGUAAUUUUUGGAGCUAUGGAAUUUGAGAAAUGGAAUUUAUACAAGAUUUCCAAAUUGAAUUUAUUUAAAAACCUAGAACUAAGUUUUAAUUUGUAAUUCAAAUUCUAUUUGGAAUUUGGUCUUGCUUAUUAAAGCAAAGUUGUAGAGUUUUUGCUUUGGAACAACUUUGUUUUUGGGAGCAAGAGGUGAAAAUGAUUUUAAAUUGGUCCAAAUGAAUUUAGAAAGAAUUUGGAGAAAAGGAAUUAAAAAAAAGGAAAGGGGCAGGCGCUGCUGGGCCAACCCCGCUUCCCUUUCGGCCCAACGAGCGGCCCGGCCUGCCUCCCCCUUCCCCUCUCUCCCGCGUGCGCGGCGCCCGCCUCGCUCCACCCGGCGCCGGCCACGUGGCGGCCGUACGCCGGCAUUGGACGCGCCGCGGCCGGCCUCCAACCCCCCCUGGUCGGGACGCCGGCUCGGGCUCCCAGGCCAUUUCCUCCGUUCUGUCCCCCGCGCCCUCCUUCUCCUUCCUCCCUUCGCUCGCACCGCGCAGCAGCAGCAGCUCCUCCGCACGCCAUUGCCGGAGAAAGCCCCGCCGCUCGCCGCCGACCGCACCAGAGCCUCAAGGUCACCGCCGAGAGCACCAGCGCCUUCGUCAUCGUUAGGGUAAGCUUGUGCGCGCGUUCUAUCGAGGUGAGAGUCCGUCGAGCGCCGUGAAUAGCUCGCCGGAGUUACACCGAGCUCGCCGGAGUACUCCGCCGCGACGGAUCUUGUGUUUCUCUGCCUCUUUUCGCUGGUUCUUGGGUGCGCUAGGUCGGUAGGGUGGUGAGGAAGCUCGGAGAGGCGUUUGCGCACGCUCUACCGCGCCGGAGCGGCCUGGCCACGGCGAGCAGCGCCGCCGUGCCGCCAUGCAUGCUCGUCGGAGGUGUUCCGGUCAUCCUCCGGCCAAUCCAAGGGUACCGUUGGGUGCGCCUCGCUGCGGGGAGCACGUUGGUGCUUACCCCGUGGCGGGAGACCUCACCGCCGGCGAGAUCUGCUCGUUGGAGGUGAGCUCCCUCUCGGUCUCGCUGACCGGUGGGGUCGGGGACCCACUGUCAGUCGCAGGGGGACCCCGGUGGGUGUAGAUCUGGGUGUGCGUAGCCUUUUUCGUCGGUUUUCUUGAAUAAAUGAUUUCCAAAAAUUGAUUCAAAACUUGAAAAAUUCAUAUCUUGAGUUCUACAGCUCCAAAUUGGAUGAAAUAAAUUUUAGUGUGCUCUAUAUUUCCAGAUCUACAGUUUGAUGUAAUUGCAUGUCAUGUUUGAGUAACUUUUCUGAAUAAAUAUAUUUAAUCCAUGUUUUUGCUAAACUUGGAGAAUGCAUAGUAAAUAAAAUAUGGUUCAGAAAAAUGUGAAACUUGAUUUGUUGGCUCUGCAUAUAUGUUUACUCACUGGGAAAAUAUUGCUACAUAUUAUUUGGUGUAUAGAUGAAUUUAAGGUAAUUUAAAUGCUUGCAUGGUAGUGAUUUAUGAUUUUUAAUAAUUAAUUGGAUCAUGCAAUAAAUCUGGAAAAUUUUGUGGGUGUUUCUUAUGAUAUUAGACAAAUUGUAAAAAUAUGAAAUCUGUUAUUUGACACUUAUAUCAUAGUAGAGUGAUUAUACUUACCCUAUGAAUUAAUCUUGUGAUUUUUGUGGCUCAAAAUAAGUAUCCAAAAAUUAUGAAAAAUUUACAGUAGACUUUAUGCGUAGCUGGUAGUCUCCUGUAAUUUUUGUGGAAUUUAUUGAUGAACAGAAUUGCAUGUGAUUUUUAAUGGGCCUAGAAAUGAAUAAAGAAAAUUUUGAAUUGUUGUGUAUAUAGGUUGAAUAGAAUAGGUUGGGUUUGGUGUAUCUUUGAAGCAUCAUGUGGGUUGCUGGUUGCAUUUGAAAAAUAAUUGUAGAAGAGAAUGCAAUAGAUGUUUGAUUCAAUUGUUUGUUCUUGGAUGAUGUUGACUACCUUGUAAUGAGCAUGACCGAGUACAUUACAUAUGCAUCAUGUCAUGACUCCUUUGGUACUUUCUCAUACAAGCAUCCACUCGGGCAUCUCGCACUCCACUAAUAAGCACCCAUGCAUCAUACAGGCUUGCAGGAGAACGAAGUGGGAACCGAGGAACCCGAGGAGAUUCAGGAGCAGGAACCUCCGGAAGCACAGGAACCCGGAGAGAAGCUGCAGGAGUGUCCGGAUCACGGACCCAGCACGUUUGAGAAAGGCAAGCCCCGGAGCAUUCUAAGUCUCCCUAUUCUCGCUAACUUAUAUGAUGCGCUAUAAUUGUUCUACUAUAUUGCAUCUAAGUGAUAGGAUUUGAUUGAUGCCGUUGAUGCAUAUGUACUCCUUGUUAUCCCUACUCGUUCACCUACCUUGUCCUAUGUAGAUAGGCACGGAGUCUAUGCUUAGCUUGCUUAGUCCGGUAGAAGUCGGGUGAUUUCCUGUCACCUGCGAGAAAUAGGUGGAUACCUGCUUGAUUAAGCAUUGGUUGCUUGGGGAAAAGAAUAACCAAGUAUGGAAUGUAACUGGAGACCGGGCAGGGUCUUAUGGUGGGUUGACCAUAGUGCCCCAGCCUGCGUUGAUUAAGGACCGAUCGUUGACGGCCCUCUUGUCAUGUUGAACGCAUGCCCCACACUUAGCUGGAAGGAUAAGUCGUUCCGACCGCGAAGCCUGAACACUAUCCGGGCCGGGCAUCGAGCCGCCAUGCGCUGUAUUGGUGAUGGUUGAGGAGAACGACGAGGGCGCGGCGCGCAACCUUGGUAUACCUUGGAUACCUCGAUCGCCGGAACGGUCCUCGGGUACUGGCGGUGCCUGCCGAACCCGCGAAUUGGUCCUGGAUAGUGUAAUAUAGUGAUCUGUAGCUCACUUGAUCAGUGAGUGUGGUUUGUGUGGGGAAUACCUCGCCAGCUGGUUAGAAAUCGAUUUGAAUCGCCAUCGCUCCUGGAUAGUGAGCACUUGACAUGAGCUUCGUCCUCGUAGUAAGGACUAUGGAACACUUGGGUUAUGUUGAUGAAUGGUUUUAAGAAAUGCUAUGAUGAGGUACUAUCAUAGCCUUAUACUCGCUUGUAAUAGUGCAGGUGCAAACCUAGAUGAUAGGUAAUGAUACUUUCAACUUGAGCAAAUUAAAAGAAGAAAGACUUAUGUAGGUUAUGAUAGUAAAAUCCUGCGGUUUUGCAAAAUGGUUGUCAGCUACCCCACUAUAUAGCCUUCAUGAUCCUUGAUGAGUCUUUAUUUUAAGUUUAUGACGGGUAAGUCUAGCUCUGUACCUUCUCGUACUCAGGGUUCUACUCCCAUGUUGUUUUGCAGAUGGUCAAAUGUACUAUGGUUAUUGCAUCCUCUGUCUGUACCCAGCCAUGGGUGAUGACUAGACCAAGGGCGAUGGUAACUCCGUCUUCUCUUUUGCUUUUGUGGGAAUGACCGAACUAUGGCACUGUAUCAGACUAAGCGUGUGUGUUGUAUUUUCGAACUACGAAGCUUCUGCUACUUGAAGAACUUGGUUUGUAAUAACUUUAAAAACUCCGAUGUAUUUUAUGAAUGUUGAAAUCUGGAUGUAUUGUGAAUGGCGACCGCUAAACUUAUUACGAUCUUGGCUGUUGUGUGAUAUGUGGUUUGAAAUCCUUCGAGAUUUCACGGACUACCGGGAUUAUAUGGGCUUAAGCGUGAUGGUUUGACUAUGCAAAUGGUCACUGUUAGGCUUAAUCUCUUAUAAUUUGGUCGGUUCUGUUACAGCUGGCAUCGGAGCAAGGUUUAGCGAGUUACUGUUCAUAAGUACGUUGUAAACAAAAUCUAAACCGGUCUAAUAAAGGAUUUUAUUAAUUAAUAAUGAUCAAAGUGUUAAACUAAGUUUUGGAAAACUAUCUAGUGUGCCAUGGUCAUAUCCUUUAUGCCCAGUUAAGGACUCUAAGGUGGCUAGUUAAGUACUGACUUGGGGGUUAAUGCAUCAUAUUUUUAUUUCGUCGCUCAUACGGCGUGCAAUAGUAUGAGUACCAUUCAUUUGAGUGGUAAUGUAUGGAUCUAUUUUUCCUCUACGUCAUGGUAAGUGGGAGCUGUGAGAGCAUGAUCGGAUACACCGCCGGUCUAGGGGAGUGUUGUUAGGUACUGUGUCAUGCACACAUGUUUUUGGUGUGUCUUGGAAACAGUACCGCAUGUUGGGAAUUCCGUCCUAAGAGGCGAUGCCGUCAUUAGGGCGAUGAUAUGGGUAGCAACACAUCACAUGCAUGGACGGGUGUCAGUGUAUGUGAAGUGCAUAGUUUUAAAUUUUGUUUUGCAUUAGCAUACUGUGGGUUGGCUGAAAUGAGUUUUCUGCAGGUACCCUAACCACGUUCUCUCUUAGAACGCUAGUUACGUUAUGAGAGAACGUUGUGUGCCACCGCAUAUACCGCUUAGUGUUAACCUUUGUUUCUAAGUUUGUGAGAUCGUAAGUUCGUGCAUGCAUCAUGUUCAUGUCAUAUCAUUGCUUACUUUCCACCUUAAUUUAAUCUGUCCCAAUUCUAAAUAAAAUAAUUAAAAGUAAUCCUCGCUCUUACCGACGGUAUUCCAUUUGCAGCAGAUGGCACGCACUAGGCUCACCGCUCGCAAGUCCACUGGUGGGCGGGCCCCUCGCCAUCCGUUGGCAGCUAGGAGCUCGCAACAUAAGAGCAAGUUCCUGGCGGAGUUUGGGAUGCCCACUUUGCUUUGGAGGGUACUCAGUUCGAUGGGGUAUCCCGAAGCAAGGGAGCCUCGCUACUAUUGGGAUAAGGAGCCGCUUGGUGACGAGACCCUGGUGGGGAUCGAGGCAGUUGUCCCUACCAGUGGAGGAGACCCUGCUUGGGGUCGCUGGGUGUACGAGUCCCGAGGUGUCACGCCUUUCCACGAUGCCAGCAGGGCAGCUUUCGCAGUUCUGAGGGACCUCUUGGAGAGGUUUCCACAGGAGCUGGCCCACGCCUUCGCUGGGGUGUUUCCCCGGGGUGACCCCUACACUUCGGUGUGGGAUCGUCCGAGGUGAGCGCUCUAGAAAGGAGUGCGGCUGAAGACCAGCACAGUGACAGCGCAGCUAUGAGUGCCAUGUACGCCUUGAUGAAGACCUAUGGAGGCCUGGAGCGUUGUUUGGGUCGCUUGUCCGGGUCUCUUCUCACCGUCCAGGAUGAGAAGCGUCAGUUGCAGCGUGAGUUCGACUCUGAGGUUGAGAGGCUGCAGGCAGAGUUGGCCCGUGUGACCAGAGAGAGAGACCAGGCAGUCCAGAAGAACAGCGAGCUGAGUCAGGACCUGCUUGCAGGGCGAGAGCAGAGGGACAGGGUGACUACUGCUCACAGGAACUGCGAGCGCAUGCUAGUCCAUGUGCUUGGACAGAGGAAUGAAGCCUGGCACGAGGAGGACACUUUGAGGGCCCGACAGCUAGAGCUAGAGCAGCAGCUAGCUAAUGCUGAGGAGUACAAUGAGAACUUGCAUGAGGAGAUCCACCAGCUGCAUAACCAGCUCCACCCUCACCACCUGCCUGGAGCAGCUGAGCUAGAUUCUGAGGACGAGAUGGACGCAGAUCCCGAGAUAGGAGCAGCUGCUAGUGGAGAUGAGGAUGAGGAUGGCUCCGGCCUGGGCAGUGACCAUAGCGAGUAGAUACUAGGGCUCUAGAGCUAGUCCUUCUUCUUGUGUUGUUGUAUGUUGCAUGGCAUGUCGUGUACUUUAGGGUCUGGGCUAUGUAAGACUUAUAAGUUAAUGCUGAAAGUCCAGUAUAUGUAUGCUGGCAAGUUGGAUGUACGCGAACCUUGUUGCGUAAAUGUUAAGUAAUCUGUUAGUGAUUUUGUGCGUAGAUGAUGAAUUGUUGUGCCUCUGUUUAUUGUGCGAAUUUAUUCCCUCAGUAAAUUCAGUACGGCACGAUUCUACACAUUUCUACCGUUGAUAACAACUCCUAACAAAUGCUUAUCAUUGAUGUAUGCAGAUGGUGCAAACACGUGGCGGGGGUAACAGCAAUCCGGGCCUUGGAGCAGGUACAUCCGGAGGUGGGGCUCAACGGAAUGAGGACAGAGCACCAACACUGCCAUCACCACCGCCUCCUCCGUACACUACGAACGUGUUUUUCGCGCAGUUUCUGGGGAGCCAACGCAACAUGGAACAGAUGCAGCGCAACAUGGAAGAGGCUCUGCGCAACAUAGCUGACAACACCCGUCGUGGGGAUAAUCAGGGUGGCCGAGAGGUCAACCAGUACAGUUCGUUCAAGGACUUCAUGGAUACCAAGCCACCAAUCUUCAAAGAGGCUUUGGAACCGCUUGAGGCAGAUGAGUGGAUCAACACCAUGGAGCAGAAGUUUCGUCUUCUCCGAAUGACAAAAGAACUUAAGGCUGAGUAUGCGGCACAUCAGUUGCAAGGACCCGCUGGGAUUUGGUGGUCCCAUCACCGUACAACCUACCCAGAGGGAACCCCAAUUACCUAGAACCGUUUCACCACAGCUUUCCGGGGAAACUACAUUCCUUCGGAUGUGGUUGAAAUGAAGGUUGGGGAGUUCAUGAGGCUGUCCCAGGGGACGAAAUCGGUGAAGGAGUAUCUACAUGCUUUCAAUAAUCUCGCUCGCUAUGCCCCUGAGUUUGUAAACACGGAGGCUAAGAAGAUUGCUAGUUUCCAGAGGGGCUUGAAUCCAAAGAUGCUGAAGACCAUGGGUACAGGGGCCAGGGCUACCUUCAAUGCUUACAUCAGUGACUGUCUCACCCAGGAGAACAACAACAACAACUACUACAUUGCAUCCAAGUCACGUAAGAGGGCUUUUGAAGCCGGAUCAUCUCAGUCCAGGGCACCAGUGGCAGGGAGACAGCAGUAUCGUCCUCCUGCCCCAGGUGCUAGGUUCCGACCGCCGCAGAGAAGGAACACCAGGCAUCCAACACAGCAGAAGCCGUACAAGGUGGCGAUAGCCAAUGCCAAGCCAAAGGCAGUUCAAGCUGCAACACCUGCCGUCAACAAUGCGCCCAAGGGUCCAUGCUAUAACUGCCUCAAGAUGGGGCACUUUGCUAAGGAAUGUCCCUACCCCAAGAGGCAGCAGCCAACCUAUCCAGCUCGUGUGCACCAUACCUCGAUCGAGGAGAUCCUGGAAGGAGAACCGGUAACAGCUGGUAUGUUUCCUGUCGACCAGCAUCUUGCAGUUGUUUUGUUUGAUUCUGGAUCAUCGCAUUCAUUCAUGAGCCAAGCAUUUGCACAAAAGCAUAGUCAACCAGUUAGAGAUCUAGGUUAUGGCUACCACAUCAGCUCAGCAGGGGCAGAUGUGUUGACCAAUAGAGUGGUCCGAGGGGCAACCCUGGAUAUAAGUGGCCAAGUUUUUCGGGUAAAUCUAGUGGUCAUGCCUGGGUUAGUUUUGGAUGUUAUCAUGGGCAUGAACUGGAUGAGAGAAUGGGGUGCUGUCAUAGAUACUGGGAAGAGAAUGUUAUCCCUUAGAGAACCGCAGAGCAAUCGCUCUUUUCAAGUACCUCUGCCCCGUCGUCUUGACUUUGCUAGCAUCUCUUGUGCUACGCACGUGGUUCCAUUACCAUAGAUCCCAGUAGUCUGUGAGUUCCCUAAUGUUUUCCCUAAGGAAUUACCAGGACUUCCCCCAGAUAGGGAAGUAGAGUUUGCAAUUGAGUUGAUCCCAGGUACAGCACCAAUAUCUAGAUGGCCGUACCGGAUGCCACCAAACGAACUCGCUGAGUUGAAGAAUCAACUAAAAGAGCUACUGGAUAAAGAGUUCAUCCGGCCAAGCUCGUCAGAGUGGGGUUGUCCAGUGUUGUUUGUGAAGAAGGAUCAAUCGUUGCGCAUGUGCGUGGACUAUCGUCCACUCAAUGCAGUGACAAUCAAGAAUAAGUAUCCCUUGCCAAGGAUCGAUAUCCUGUUUGAUCAGUUGUCCAAGGCAAAAGUGUUUUCCAAGACCCAUUUGAGGUCUGGGUAUCAUCAAAUCAAGAUUCGUCCACAGGAUAUCCCGAAGACUGCUUUUUCCACCAGAUAUGGGUUGUAUGAGUACCUUGUCAUGUCCUUUGGGUUGACAAAUGCUCCUGCAUACUUUAUGUAUCUGAUGAAUUUAGUCUUUAUGCCAGAAUUGGAUAAGUUUGUUGUGGUGUUUAUCGAUGAUAUUCUGGUUUAUUCCGAAAAUGAGCAAGAUCACGCCGAACAUCUGAGAAUCGUGCUGACACGAUUACGAGAGCAUCAGUUAUAUUCCAAGUUCAGCAAGUGUGAGUUCUGGUUGAAGAAAGUUCCUUUCCUAGGGCACAUUCUGUCGGAAGAAGGGAUUGCUGUGGAUCCAUCAAAAGUGCAGGAAGUCAUGGACUGGAAGACACCAACUUCUGUCUCGGAAGUUAGAAGUUUUCUUGGUCUGGCCGGGUAUUAUCGCCGAUUCAUACCUGACUUCUCCAAGAUUGCUAAGCCAAUGACAAGUUUGCUGCAAAAGGAUCAUAAGUUUGUCUGGACGGAAGGGUCUGAGUUAGCCUUCCGCACCUUGCGAAAGUUGCUAACCACUGCUCCUGUUCUGGCACAACCUAAUAUCGAAAAGCCUUUUGAUGUGUUUUGCGACGCAUCGAAGAGUGGCCUGGGGUGUGUGUUGAUGCAAGAUGGCAGGGUGAUAGCUUAUGCUUCCCGACAGUUGAGAAAGCACGAAGUCAACUACCCAACUCACGACCUCGAGUUAGCAGCAGUGGUACACGCUUUGAAGAUUUGGAGACAUUAUCUGCUGGGAAAUAAGUGUCACAUUUAUACCGAUCAUAAGAGUUUGAAGUACAUCUUCACUCAGUCCGAGCUAAAUAUGAGGCAACGACGGUGGUUAGAGCUAAUCAAGGACUAUGAUCUGGAAGUUCACUAUCAUCCGGGCAAGGCUAAUGUAGUAGCAGAUGCGUUGAGUCGUAAACCGCACUAUCAAGUGGUUCAACCGUUGUUUGAAGAUGGGUUCAAUCUCAUGCAUCCUGAGGUCUUAUGUCACAUACAACUCAGUUGUUCACUCGAGAGUCAAGUCAUUGAAGGACAGAAAACAGACAAGGGUAUUUUCCACAUCAAGGAGAAGAUCAAAGAUGACCCAAAAACUCAAUUUCGCGUUGAUGAGAAAGGGGUACUGUGGUUUGAACAUCGGUUAGUAGUCCCGAAGGAUCGAGAAUUGAAGAAUUGCAUCAUGGAUGAAGCCCAUCUCUCUAAGCUUUCUAUUCAUCCUGGCAGUAGCAAAAUGUAUCAAGAUCUAAGACCCCACUUUUGGUGGACCAAGAUGAAGAAGGAAAUAGCCGCAUCUGUAGCCCGUUGCGACACGUGUUGCAGAGUUAAGGCCAUCCAUAUGAAACCUGCAGGUCUGUUGCAACCGUUAUCAGUUCCAGAGUGGAAAUGGGAAGAGGUCAGUAUGGACUUUAUCACAGGAUUACCGACCACGAGGAAGGGGAAUGACUCGAUUUGGGUGAUCAUAGAUCGAUUAACCAAGUCGGCUCAUUUCAUUCCAGUCAAGAACACAUACAGACCUCCUGAGUAUGCCGAUAUAUAUAUAUGGCUGAGAUUUUUAAGUUGCAUGGUAUUCCCAAAACCAUCAUAUCAGAUAGAGGACCACAGUUCACCGCUCACUUCUGGGAGCGAAUGCAUAAGAAUUUGGGAACCAGUCUGAUAAGAAGGACGGCGUACCAUCCCCAGACUUCAGGACAAACGGAGAGGCUAAACCAAGUAUUGGAAGAUAUGCUGAGGGCCUGUGUGCUAUCAUCCAAGUGAUCAUGGGAGUCAUGGUUACCUCUGGCUGAAUUCUCAUACAAUAACAGUUAUCAAGAGAGCAUCAAGAUGGCCCCGUUCGAAGCUUUGUAUGGUCGGAGAUGUAGAACUCCAUUGAACUGGGUUGAACCUGGUGAGAGAAGAUACUAUGGUAUCGACUUCGUGAAUGAGGUAGAGAAGAAGGUACAAAUCAUACAGCAGCAUAUGCGCGCAGCGCAAUCCCGACAAAAGAGUUAUGCUGAUAAGAGAAGAAGGCCACUUGAAUUCAAAGUAGGUGACUAUGUGUACCUCAAGGUUACGCCAAUGAAGAAGGUUCAGCGUUUCCGAGUUCGAAGCAAGCUUGCACCCAGAUAUGUGGGACCGUAUCAAAUACUAGAGAGGAAAGGCCCAGUGGCCUACAAGAUUCAGUUACCUGAAGAGUUGAGCUCGAUCUUUCCGGUCUUCCAUGUGUCGCAACUACGGAAAUGUUUGAAGGUACCUGAGCAAAGAAUUGAACCUUGAGGGAUCAAAAUAAAAACAGAUUUAGAGUAUAAGGAGCAACCAGUGGGAAUUGUGGAUACCAAGGAAUGGGUAACCCGAAACAGAAUUGUCAGAACUUAUAAGGUGGUGUGGAGUCAUCAUGACGAUAGGGAUGCCACCUGGGAAACAGAGGAUUACUUGAAAACAGUUUAUCCAAAAUUUCAUAAGAAAUGGUUAGUAACCCAAAAUCUCGGGACGAGAUUUCCCUAAGGGGGAAGGGCUGUAACACCCUAGGUGUUAAGCAUGCAUUUAGCCCUAUCACAACAUGCAUAAGCAUUUUCAUCAAGCAUAGCAUCAUGAGCAUGUCAUUCAUCCCAAAACAUGAUUUUAUGUGCUUUAUUUCAUGUGUUUUAAUUAUGCUAAAAUAUGAUGCUUGCUUCCAAAAAUGUGAAAUAUUCAAACUAGGUUGAUUUAUGUGUAAGAAGAAUUUAGAUUAUUUUUGUGUAAUUUUUGGAGCUAUGGAAUUUGAGAAAUGGAAUUUAUACAAGAUUUCCAAAUUGAAUUUAUUUAAAAACCUAGAACUAAGUUUUAAUUUGUAAUUCAAAUUCUAUUUGGAAUUUGGUCCUGCUUAUUAAAGCAAAGUUGUAGAGUUUUUGUUUUGGAACAACUUUGUUUUCGGGAGCAAGAGGUGAAAAUGAUUUUAAAUUGGUCCAACUGAAUUUAGAAUGAAUUUGGAGAAAAGAAAUUUAAAAAAAAGGAAAGGGGCAGGCGCUGCUGGGCCAACCCCGCUUCCCUUUCGGCCCAGCGAGCGGCCCAGCCUGCCUCCCCCUUCCCCUCUCUCCCGCGCGCGCGGCGCCCGCCUCGCUCCACCCGGUGCCGGCCACGUGGCGACCGUACGCCGGCGUUGGACGCGCCGCGGCCGGCCUCCAACCCCCUCCUGGUCGGGACGCCGGCUCGGGCUCCCAGGCUAUUUCCUCCGUUUUGUCCCCCGCGCCCUCCUUCUCCUUCCUCCCUCCGCUCGCACCGCGCAGCAGCAGCAGCUCCUCCGCGCGCCAAUGCCGGAGAAAGCCCCGCCGCUCGCCGCCGACCGCACCAGAGCCUCAAGCUCACCGCCGAGAGCACCAGCGCCUUCGUCAUCGUUAGGGUAUGCUUGUGCGCGCGUUCUACCGAGGUGAGAGUCCGUCGAGCACCGUGAAUAGCUCGCCGGAGUUACCCCGAGCUCGCCGGAGUACUCCGCCGCGACGGAUCUUGUGUUUCUCUGCCUCUUUUCGCUGGUUCUUGGGUGCGCUAGGUCGGUAGGGUGGUGAGGAAGCUCGGAGAGGCGUUUGCGCACGCUCUACCGCGCCGGAGCGGCCUGGCCACAGCGAGCAGCGCCGCCGUGCCGCCAUGCAUGCUCGUCGGAGGUGUUCCAGUCAUCCUCCGGCCAAUCCAAGGGUACCGUUGGGUGCGCCUCGCUGCGGGGAGCACGUUGGUGCUUACCCCGUGGCCGGAGACCUCACCGCCGGCGAGAUCUGCUCGUCGGAGGUGAGCUCCCUCUCGGUCUCGCUGACCGGUGGGGUCGGGGACCCACUGUCAGUCGCAGGGGGACCCCGGUGGGUGUAGAUCUGGGUGUGCGUAGCCUUUUUCGUCGGUUUUCUUGAAUAAAUGAUUUGCAGAAAUUGAUUCAAAACUUGUAAAAUUCAUAUCUUGAGUUCUACAGCUCCAAAUUGGAUGAAAUAAAUUUUGGUGUGCUCUAUAUUUCCAGAUCUACAGUUUGAUGUAAUUGCAUGUCAUGUUUGAGUAACUUUUCUGAAUGAAUAUAUUUAAUCCAUGUUUUUGCUAAACUUGGAGAAUGCAUAGUAAAUAAAAUAUGGUUCAGAAAAAUGUGAAACUUGAUUUGUUGGCUCUGCAUGUAUGUUUACUCACUGGGAAAAUAUUGCUACAUAUUAUUUGGUGUAUAGAUGAAUUUAAGGUAAUUUAAAUGCUUGCAUGGCAGUGAUUUAUGAUUUUUAAUAAUUAAUUGGAUCAUGCAAUAAAUAUGGAAAAUUUUGUGGGUGUUUCUUAUGAUAUUAGAUAAAUUGUAAAAAUAUGAAAUCUGUUGUUUGACACUUAUAUCACAGUAGAGUGAUUAUACUUACCCUAUGAAUUAAUCUUGUGAUUUUUGUGGCUCAAAAUAAGUAUCCAAAAAUUAUGAAAAUUUACAGUAGACUUUAUGCGUAGCUGGUAGUCUCCUGUAAUUUUUGUGGAAUUUAUUGAUGAACAGAAUUGCAUGUGAUUUUUAGUGGGCCUAGAAAUGAAUAAAGAAAAUUUUGAAUUGUUGUGUAUAUAGGUUGAAUAGAAUAGGUUGGGUUUGGUGUAUCUUUGAAGCAUCAUGUGGGUUGCUGGUUGCAUUUGAAAAAUAAUUGUAGAAGAGAAUGCAAUAGAUGUUUAAUUCAAUUGUUUGUUCUUGGAUGUUGUUGACUACCUUGUAAUGAGCAUGAUCGAGUACAUUACAUAUGCAUCAUGUCAUGACUCCUUUGGUACUUUCUCAAACAAGCAUCCACUCGGGCAUCUCGCACUCCACUCAUAAGCACCCAUGCAUCAUACAGGCUCGCAGGAGAACGAAGUGGGACCCGAGGAACCCGAGGAGAUUCAGGAGCAGGAACCUCCGGAAGCACAGGAACCCGGAGAUGAGCUGCAGGAGUGUCCGGAUCACCGACCCAGCACGUUUGAGAAAGGCAAGCCCCAGAGCAUUCUAAGUCUCCCUAUUCUCGCUAACUUAUAUGAUGCGCUAUAAUUGUUCUACUAUAUUGCAUCUAAGUGAUAGGAUUUGAUUGAUGCCGUUGAUGCAUAUGUACUCCUUGUUAUCCCUACUCGUUCACCUACCUUGUCCUAUGUAGAUAGGUACGGAGUCUAUGCUUAGCUUGCUUAGUCCGGUAGAAGUCGGGUGAUUUCCUGUCACCUGCGAGAAAUAGGUGGAUACCUGCUUGAUUAAGCAUUGGUUGCUUGGGGAAAAGAAUAACCAAGUAUGGAAUGUAACUGGAGACCGGGCAGGGUCUUAUGGUGGGUUGACCAUAGUGCCCCUGCCUGCGUCGAUUAAGGACCAAUCGUUGACGGCCCUCUUAUCAUGUUGAACGCAUGCCCCACACUUAGCUGGAAGGAUAAGUCGUUCCGACCGUGAAGCCUGAACACUAUCCGGGCCGGGCAUCGAGCCGCCAUGCGCUGUAUUGGUGAUGGUUGAGGAGAACGACGAGGGCGCGGCACGCAACCUUGGUAUACCUUGGAUACCUCGGUCGUCGGAACGGUCCUCGGGUACUGGCGGUGCCUGCCGAACCAGCGAAUUGGUCCUGGAUAGUGUAAUACAGUGAUCUGUAGCUCACUUGAUUAGUGAGUGUGGUUUGUGUGGGGAAUACCUCGCCAGCUGGUUAGAAAUCGAUUCGAAUCGCCAUCGCUCCUGGAUAGUGAGCACUUGACAUGAGCUUCGUCCUCGUAGUAAGGACUAUGGAACACUUGGGUUAUGUUGAUGAAUGGUUUUAAGAAAUGCUAUGAUGAGGUACUAUCAUAGCCUUAUACUCGCUUGUAAUAGUGCAGGUGCAAACCUAGAUGAUAGGUAAUGAUACUUUCAACUUGAGUAAAUUAAAAGAAGAAAGACUUAUGUAGGUUAUGAUAGUAAAAUCCUGCGGUUUUGCAAAAUGGUUGUCAGCUACCCCACUAUAUAGCCUUCAUGAUCCUUGAUGAGUCUUUAUUUUAAGUUUAUGACGGGUAAGUCUAGCUGAGUACCUUCUCGUACUCAGGGUUCUACUCCCAUGUUGUUUUGCAGAUGGUCAAAUGUACUAUGGUUAUUGCAUCCUCUGUCUGUACCUAGCCAUGGGUGAUGACUAGACCAAGGGCGAUGGUCACUCCGUCUUCUCUUUUGCUUUUGUGGGAAUGACCGAACUAUGGCACUGUAUCAGACUAAGCGUGUGUGUUGUAUUUUCGAACUACGAAGCUUCCGCUACUUGAAGAACUUGGUUUGUAAUAACUUUAAGAACUCCGAUGUAUUUUAUGAAUGUUGAAAUCUGGAUGUAUUGUGAAUGGCGACCGCUAAACUUAUUACGAUCUUGGCUGUUGUGCGAUAUGUGGUUUGAAAUCCUUCGAGAUUUCACGGACUACCGGGAUUAUAUGGGCUUAAGCGUGAUGGUUUGACUAUGCAAAUGGUCACUGUUAGGCUUAAUCUCUUAUAAUUUGGUCGGUUCUGUUACAGCCUAUCGGCUCUUGUUCGGAACCAUGCCCCUAAAAUCGACAUACAUUCAGCUCCAGAUGGCAAAUCAGACAUUCCGAAAGGUUGAAGGUAUAGUAACUAAUAUCCCUGUCAAAAUAGACGAUCAUUUUUUCCAUACAGACUUUUAGGUUAUUGACAUGGGAGAAGACGAGUACGAUCCACCCAUCAUCCUUGGGAGACCGUUCCUCAGUAUCGUUAAAGCAAUCAUCUACAUUGGAACUAGAGAAGUCCACAAGCACUUUCCCUCAGAGAAGGUACGCCGCUACUUUACUGACCUUAAUUAUAUAGUUGAAGACUCUAAGCAGGUCAGGACAAGAUGAAGACGACACAACCGCAACCAGAGGAGGCAAAUCAUUAAGGACGGAUGGGCAGACUACGAAGGAGAAGUGGUAAGAUCUGAAGACAUACAGCUUGAACAGAAAUAUCAAGUGGAGACCGUAGCACCGAGUCAGGUGUGGAGAGAAAAGAUAGUUGUACACGAAGAUGAGGCGCCGCCGGAAGCACCGACUACGCCAUCCAACGAAUCCCAGGACAACUAAGAAAACAGAUAGUCCCGUUCGGAGGACUUAAAAACACCGAGCGCCUUGACAAGAGAUAAACUUGGUAGUUAUCCUUUUCCUUUAAAUUAUUUCAAAUAGUUUGCUUAGUUAAUCAUGUUCAUACUAUCCUAAAAGGAAAAUAAAAAUAUUAAAAAUAGUAAGCCCCAUGUGAGUAUACGAGUGGCAUAAAACUCAUAAGUACAUUCACUGUGGUGGCAUAAAAAUAAAAUAAAUAUUUUUUCUGCUCUAUACAAAUGAAGAUAUAAAAAUAAGAUUGUGAUCCUACCAAAGAGAGUAACAUUUAUUGAGGAGGCUCAACAUGAUAAAGGCUAGAUAUUUAUGCUAACACUUAAUCAGUUCCACAAAGCUUUGUUGUCUAUUUGUGCUCCACAGAAUUCAAGGAUCAAGAAGACUAGCAGACGGAGGACAUCCUAAUCGCUGUCAGGGUGCUGCCGACUUUGAAAUACACCUCUACCACCUACUAGCUACAUCAGAAGAAAUUACGUCAAAAUUCAGCUUGGGGGAGAGCACCCCCAUUUAUCUCGCUACGUAUUUCUAUCUACAUUUAUACUUAUACUAUUAAAGUAUAAAUAUACAUAAUCAUGAAAAACCAAAUAAAGAUUUUGUGCUUAUAUAUAUAUCUUUUGCUUAGUGUGAUUAAUAAAUAAAUAAAGUGGCUAUGCUAAACUGAAUCUUAAUAAAACUCUAGCAUGGAUAUGAUGAAUAGUUGCUCUGCCUAUUUUCCAAAUUUGAGUUCUCUCUCAAGUUUAGACAUAACUGUUAUAAUUUAAAGCUUGCUCUAAACCUAAACUUGUGGGAAAAGAAGUGGAUCUGAAGUCUAAGUUGUUAACGGGUAUGAUAUGAGAAGGUUGAGCUGUUGUUUAUCUAUUCCUAGAUACGCUAGAAUUAUGGAGAAUUUUAUCUUUGAAAAUCUUUAAACUAUCACAUGAUGAGUUCCUGUAUGAUGAUAGUUUAAAUUCCUACCACAGCCAUAUAUACAUGCUUGCUAGACUUUGAGCCACACAUUUACUUUUUACUGCUUAUGAGCAUUGAGUGUGGUCAAGCUAUGUAGACCCUUAGGAGCUUGUUAUGUGGUUAAAUCAAGAUUCACUUGCACAUUCACUCACACAUACUGCUUCUACUCCGGAAGUACGCAUCCACAUAUAUCCACACAUUUCCAUCUCCAGAACCACCCAAAAAUAUUCUACUCCUAAUCCGGGAGAGAAUAGCCAAAAACAUUCUUGGGUUUCUCUGUGAAAUAAAUGCUCAAGUUAUCUUGAUUACUACCACUUGCUAUAUUAUUUCAGGAGAUGAGUGUUGAUAUUUGGUAGCGCCAUCGGGAAAUGAUCCGCAAGCGCACGGAUAUCGGUGAGCAUUUCACCCGAGAGGUUAUCUAGAGUAUCGUAUUUAUAUUUUUACCACUGGGAGAAAGCGUGCAUCUGACUAACCAAAUCUAUUGCUACUACCCUUUAGGCUAUAAAGAAUGUUUCUCGAUGUGAGUGAUGUAUAGAGAAGACUGCAACCGUAGUCUCGUUCUAACCUUGGUAAGGAUGAUCUACUGUUCUAUUGGGGAGGCUAACGGAAUCUGGACACCACAGAGGAUGUUCAACGCGCACCUAUAAACCCUACCCGUCCUUCUAACAAGAUGUGGGCUCUAAAGGUAACUCGGAAAUGUCACGUUCCUCACUACUACCACGGUCCAGCUAGUCAGGAGAUAUCUAUGAGUACCCUAGCCCAAACACCAUGUUUACGCUAGCAAUGAUUACUCUAAACUCAACCGGAGGAGACUAAAGUAAACUCAUAAACCAAAGAACAAUAAAAUAAGAACUUACUAGAAUUUAGAAGUUGAAUUACUGAAGAAUCCUAAGAGCAAGCCUCGGGUUAGGAGAACAUGAUCCCACAGGUACAACCUCAGAGUAGACACCGAAAGGCCGGGCUUCCUCCGAACUACACCUCCACUCUAUCUCUCUCAAUCUAGUAGAACAUAGAAGAACUAAUUCUACUCUCAUAUUGGAUGCUAGGCCCUAAGUCUAUUUAGAGGAGAGGUAUUCCUUCGAGGGCUCCUCUCAACUCUAUGAUGAACUUGUUCUCCUCCAGGGGCCAGGGGGUCUGCUUAUAUACUCCCCUCAGGUGAACGUGGGCCGUCAGAUCAAACCGACAUUGAUUGAACGAUUAUCCUUGAUCCUUUAGGUCGGUGGAGCGUAAUCCCCAAAGCGAGUCCUGAUUGGACUCUGGGACAGGGCGGGCGCCCAAGGGGGAGGGCAGGCUCCCUGCCCCCAGGCCCGUUCGCCUUACCGUUCGUUCCCGUGGCUUCUGGAGUCUUCUAGAUAACAUUGCGUGGCAUGUUAAUAUCUCUAUGUAAACCCGACGUGUGGGCCUUUCCUCCAUAUUUCCUGAUAACCCCCUACAGAAAUAGACAAACACCAAAACUCAUGGAAUUCUGUCAGAUAAAACCCUAAGUCUAUGUGUUGGUUGCAUUUGGAUCCUUUUCUUUAUUUAUUUGAUGAUUAUAUUUGAUACUUAAGGACCGUCAACAACUCCCCCAAGCUUACCUCUUGCUCGUCCCUGAGCAAGGAUGGACUCAAGAGUUUCUGCAGUGGUUUCAUGCCUUAAAAGUACACAUGCGUUCAAGCAAGACCUCAUCUCUGAGUUAGAGUAAACUGUUAAGACUUAAAACUUACUCAUUUUACCUUUCACCAUGGGGCUUGUAACCGUAACUUGUGUCUUGAGCAGUUAAAAGAUAGAACGGUCAAGUCAAGCGCUAUGUCUCUUAUUCUUGAUCAGUUAUAGCUCUGGAGUUUUUGUAGAUUUUCAAAAUAAAACUCAGAGAUUCCUUGUAUGACUCUCUCUAGUCUCUCUUUUGUGUUUUUUCUAGAUCCUUUCCAAGGUUGUAUUGGUAUAUGCCUUCUCUCAAAGUAUGUGGUAUUUUUGGUAUGGGGCAUAGUGAUAUUGCCUUCUCUCUCACCCUACUCUAAUAAGGUUUUGAUAUCUAGAGCUCAUAGGUGGGAGACAGAUAAUACAUACUUACAAGACAUUUAUUGCAUAGUCAAAACAUGGAUCCAGAGAAAACAAGUCAAUAAGUCAAAUCAAGAUGUGCAUGUGUGGCGAAUGAAUGGUGUAUGGUGAUGAUGGUGAUAAUGGUGAAAGCGAUGGUGAAAGUCUAAUUCUACGUUUGCUCUUUUAAGGGGAUACAUACCUUUCUUGCACUUUUGAAGCUUUUUUUGAGGGGAAUGAGAUGCUCUAUAUUUUCUUUUUCUUUUUCUCUUAGGUGGGUAUCUUUGUACCCCUAAUUCUACAGUCGGACACUCGUCCAGUUUUACCUCUCGUCUCACUCUUUCUUUUCUUCGAGGUUCCGGGCACUUGCCCCUUUUUAUUUCCUCGUAUCCUCUUUUUUUUAGAGCACUCAUCUCCUUAAAUAAUAUAGCAAGUGGUAGUAACCAAGAUAACUGGAGCAUUUAUUUCACAGGGAAAUACAGAAAUGUUUUUGGCUAUUCUCUCCUGGAUUAGGAGUAGAAUACUUUUGGGUGGCUCUGGAGAUGGAAAUGAGUGGAUAUAUGUGGAUGCGUACUUCUGGAAUAGAAGUAGCAUAUAUGAGUGAACGUGCAAGUGAAUCUUGAUUUUAACCACAUGACAAGCUCCUAAGGGUCUACACAGCUUGACCACACUCAAUGCUCAUAAGCAGUAACAAGUAAAUGUGUGGCUCAAAGUCUAAUAAGCAUGUAUAUAUGGCUGUGGUAGGAUUUUAAAUUCUCAUCAUACAGGAACUCAUCAUGUGUUAUUUUAAAGAUUUUCAAAGAUAAAAUUCUCCAGAAUUCUAGCAUCUCUAGGAAUAAAUAGCAGCUCAACCUAUCCAUAUCAUAUCCGUUAACGACUCAGACUUUAGAUCAAGUACUCUUCCCACAAGUUUAGGUUUAGGGUUUAAAUUAUAACAGUUAUGCCUAAACUUGAGAGAGAUUUCAAUUUUAAGAACUAGUCAUGGCAGAGCAACUAUUCAUCAUUUCCAUGUGGGAGGUUAUCAUGAGGGUUCAUAGCAAACUUUAUUUAUUUAUUUAUUUAGCAAACUAAGCAAAGAUAUAUAUAUAAAAGCACAAAAUCUUUAUUUGGGUUUUCAUGAUUAUGCAUCUUUUUAUUAUUUGAGUAAAGUAUAAACGCGAGUAGAAACACUUAGCUGGAUAAAUGAGGGUGCUCUCCCCCAAGCUAGAUUUUGACGUAAUUUCUUCUGAUGUAGCUUGCAGGUGGCAGAGGUGUAUUUGAAUGACGGCAGCACCCUAACAGCGAUUAGGAUGUCCUCUAUCUGCUAGUCUUAUUUAAUCCUUGAAUUAUGUGGAGCUCAAAUAGACAACAAAGCUUUGUGGAACAGAUUAGGAGUUAGCAUAAAUAUCUAGCCUUUAUCAUGUUGAUCCUCCUCAGUAAAUGUUAUUUAUUUAGCAGGAUCAUGCACUUAUUAUUUUUAUAUUUUUAUUGUAAGAUGAAAACAUAUUUAUUUUAUGCCACCAUAGUGAAUGUACCUAUGGGUUUUAUGCCAUGAGCAUACUCACAUGGGGCUUACUAUUUUUUAACAUUUUUAUUUUCUUUUCGAGACGAUAUGAACCUAAUUAACUAAGCAAACUAUUUUAAAUAGGAAAAAGGAUAACUACCAUGUUUACCUCUUCGUAGGCAUUCGGUGUUUUUGAGUCCUCCGAACGGGAUUCUCCGUUUUCUCAAUCGUCGUGGGAUUUGCUGGGUGGCUGUUGACGGUCCUUAAUGCUCACAUUUAACCAUCAACUAAUCAUAGAAAAGUAUCCAAAUGCAACCAACACCCAGACUUAGGGUUUUAUGUGACAUAAUUCCACGAGUUUUGGUGUUUGUCUAUUUCUGCAGGGGGUUAUCAGGAAAUAUGGAAGAAAGGGCCACAUGUCGGGAUUACAUAGAGAUAUUAACAUUCUGCACAAUUUUCUACCAUAUAGAAGACUCCAGAAGCCACGGAAACGAACGGGAAGGCGAUCGGGCUCGGAGGCAGGGCGCCCGCCCUACUCUCCUGGGCGCCCGCCCACCUUCUGAGUCCAAUCAGGACUCUCUUUUGGGAUCGUGCUCCACCGACCUAAGGGAUCAAGGAAAACCAUGCGAUUAAUGUCGGUUUGAUCCGACGGCCCAGAUUCAUCUGAAAAGACUAUAUAAGCAAGGCCCCCUGGCCCCUGGAGAGCAUACCUCUUCUACAGAAUCAAAGUUAGGGUUUCAAUUCUUCAUCCAAGUAGAGAGGAUCCCUCUAGUUCAUCUAGUUCUACCUCUAGUUCAUCUAGUUCUAGUUCUAGUUCAUAUAGUUCUAGUUCUAGUUGUAGUUAGUUCUAGUUGUAAUCUUGAAAAUAGGAAGAGAGAAGAGGAGAGCGGAGGAGGAGGAGCUGGAUCUGUCGAAUCUUCCUCAACAUUGUACUUUUGCAGCAACUGGUUCGUUCUUCAUCGUUCUCUAGGUUCUUCAAUUCAUAAUUCCUGGGUUCUUUAAUUACUUUUAUUUACAUUCAAGUUAUUUAUUGGAUUCCCGCUUGCAUCAAGUGCUCUAAUCUUUGCAACAUUAGAGUAGUAAUUAAUAGAUUAGACGUGGUGUUUAGUCUUGCAAUUACCUGGAAUGGCACCCAAUCCUGCGGAUUGUUGUGGUAGCCCUAGGGUAGUGACAGCCCUAAUGGUCGACGCAUUCCACCUCGUUCGGAUCGGUGUUUGUAGGACCGUAGUCAGAGCUUCCUAGCCCCCUUCUCAUCUCUUUCUGUGGUUAGUGUUCUGAUGUCCCGAAAUAAAUAAUAUUUGAAGUAAUUCUUGAUUCUUAGAUCAAUUAGAGAACUCUCAGGAAACUUCCUCUCUUCCCACCAAAAAUAAUUAUAUAGUUAUCCUAGGACGAUCUUGAAUCUUAAUUAGUACACUCAAGUUCCCUGUGGAAAAAUCGAUACUCUGGAAUACUCCCGGGUGAAAGCUACAUCGAUAUCCGUGCACUUGCGGAUUUUCUGUUUGCGUUUAAAAUACCCAACAGUGGCGUAGUCGGUGGUUCCGUUGGCGCCUCCCCUUCGUGUAUAACUAUCUUCUCUUUCUGACUCGGUGCUAUGGUCUCCCCAGGAUAGUUCUAUUCAAGUUGUAUGUCUUCAGACCUUACCACUUCUCCUUGGUAGUCUACCCAUCCGUCCUUGAUGAUUUGCCUUCUCUGGUUGCGUUAUCUUCUUGUCCUUUAGGUACAUCAUUUGAUUAGGUGUGGACCUUGACGUCUGCACCUCUUGAUACGGAGUCACCCAUGUUCUUUGUUUGCUCAACAGUUCGAAGUGCGGUGUUGGCAAUAUCCUGCUCAGUGUGUUUGCGCUCGUAGAUCCAGGUCCUUCACUUCUUGGAGUUUGGGAGUUGUAAAACUCCUCCAUGUUUUGCUUGAAGUGUACCUGUUCAUAGAGACAAUGCAGAGAUCAAGUGCAUGGGCCCUGUUGGUCGAAAACACGAACAAAACCAAAAGUGUAUUGUUCUUCUCUAACCUUAAGCAUAGUGAGCAAGACAAAGUUGAUAGGAUCAAGAGUGUAGUAUUUGAAACAUUUGUCAGAUCAGAUGGCUCAACCUAAUGGAAAGAUAAUCUAUCUAUAUUUAUGUUUUGUUUAUAUCUUCCAAAGAUUGAAUGUGCACCAUAUUAGCUUAUAUGAUUAGAAGUGUGGGAUCACGAAGGUAGUACUAAGAACAAAGAUUAAAGGACUAAACAUGUUGAAUUAAUUGGGUUGAUUAAUUUGGAGCUACAAAUCAUACAUGUUUGUCUCUUUUAUUCAUGUGAAUGCCAGAACCAAGGAGAAACUUAUAAAAGUGAUAGUCAAGUACAUUAAGAUGUUACCUUAAUUGAAGAGUGAUGGUAUAGUAUCACCUUGUGGAAGCUUUCCUCUCUUAGCGGUUGUGCAUCGUGUUUGUGGCACCCUCCAAGGAUCAUCUCUUUAUGAUGAAUGAGCUAUGUCCUUCUUGUGCAAAUUGUUAAACUUCAUGUGUCUCCUUUAUCUCCAAUGAGUUUGUAUCUCAGGACUUCUCAGGUUGAUAUUGAAAGUUUUCCUGCAGGGGUUAGUCCAACAAAAUAUCCCAUAUGUACUAUAGCAUACUAUCGGCUCAAAAAUCAACCUAGACACCUUGUCUAAUUUGAUUUAGGAGGGCAUUUUAACCUAAGCACCAUGCUUAAUUUAAAAAUCCUUUGGAAGUAAGAUCAUCAUUCCUAAACUAAGCACCAUGUUUAACUAAGAGAUAAGUGAAACUACUCCAAACCUAGACAUAUACUAAAGCAAAUAAAGGUAGCAUGAGAGCAUUUAUAGAGAUCUACUCAAGUGGAGAUGAAGUAGUGUGAUUAGUAUUUAACAAAUUGAGCAUGUCUGAAAGGUAAGGACAACCAACAUAGCAACAUGGCAAAUGAUGUUUUUAUGUAAAGUACUCCCCCAAGCUUGAAUUUUGCAAAAUUCAAGUUUGGAUGAAUUUAAUUCAAUGUUGUGUGAUGGUUGGUUGGACAUACCUUGCACUUGUCAUUCCUCGGAUCUUCUUGCUCCAAUCCUAGAAAGGUUAGUGACACGAAUACCUGAAGGAAUAUUUCUACAAUUAUCUUUAUAUGCUCAAUACACAAGGCAAUGUUGCAAAUAAUUAAAAGUUCAUGUUACGAUCUGAUAAGUGCUUGUUUUAGGACACUAAGCUUAUCCUUGGGAAACCAUCAAUCAACUCAACGAGAUCUGCAAUAUUUAUUACAGACAUAUGCAUCGACAAGCGCUCUUUUAAAGUUGUUAUAAUUAGAAAGGAAGAGGGGGUUGGAGAUCUUAAAUGUGGCAGGUUGGAGAGACCAAUUGAAUGGGGAGUUGUUUUAUAUGAGCAAGGACUUGAUGAGGUAUUUAUGAAAUAACUUCCAUGCUCACUGUUGUUUCUUUCAUUCUCAAACUCCAAGGAUGAUUCUUCAUAAAUGCUUAGAAUUCCUCUAGGAUUGUCUCUCAAGUUUGUUUUAUCCAUCCAUUCAAUGGUGAUAGCAUAUGGAUUUUUAAUGCCCUCUAGCCAUUGAUGUUGCUCUUCUCGAUCCUCCUUGUUGUCUUGGUGACUCUUAUGAAUGGGAUGUCUAGAGAGAUUCAUAGGAUCAUCGGGAGGUUCAAGAGAAAGAGCAUAGUAGAAAUUAUUAGGCUCAAGGAUGGGUUGGAUAGCCGAAUCAUGGGAUUGGAAUGUUUGGAAAUCGGCUAUUGAAACUUCCUCUCCUUGUCUAGGAGAUGAUUCCUUCUCUAUCUCAAAGAUUUUUCUAUGAAGACUAGUACAAGAAGGAUGUCCAUGAAUGAAGACAUACCUUGCUUUACUAACAGAUAAAGAAAGAAAAACUCUACCAAAGGUUAUAUGAUUAAGACCAAUGUGAAAAUAUCGAGAAAAAAACAUGGCCUUGUAGGGCUAGGUCUAAACCAGAAUUUAUAGAAAGAUUAAAAGAUUCCCUAGGUAUAGCUAAAAGUUCAUUAUCUUCUUGAUUAAAAGAUAUGAUCUCACCUAUAGAAAAGGGUUGGUUUUGACCUAUUGCAAUCAACUCCGGACACAGAUCAUAAUUAGGGGCAGGACUUGUUGACUCCCAUGGUCUAUGGCUGGUCUCCGAAGGUGCAAAGAAUUCAAUAAUAGGUAUGGAAUUUGAGUUAUCCAUAAAGAUGGAAAAAAUAAAAAGAUAAAAGAAUAAAAGAAUAAAAGUAUAAUACAAGAUAAUAGCAAAACUAAAAGUUAUCUCAGCAAACCGUCUUUCUCCCCGGCAACGGCGCUAGAAAUGCUUGUUGAUAUUUGGUAAUGCCAUCAGGAAAUGAUCCGCAAGUGCACGGAUAUCGGUGAGCAUUUCACCCGGGAGGUUAUCCAGAGUAUCGUAUUUAUAUUUUUACUACUGGGAGAAAGCGUGCAGCUGACUAACCAAAUCUAUUGCUACUACCCUUUAGGCUACAAAGAAUGUUUCUCGAUGUGAGUGAUGUAUAGAGAAGACUACAACCGUAGUCUUGUUCUAACCUUGGUAAGGAUGAUCUACUGUUCUAUUGGGGAGGCUAACGGAAUCUAGACACCACAGAGGAUGUUCAACCCGCACCUAUAAACCCUACCCGUCCUGCUAACAAGAUGUGGGCUGCAAAGAUAACUCAGAAAUGUCACGUUCAUCGCUACUACCACGGUCCAGCUAGUCAGGGGAUAUCUAUGAGUACCCUAGCCCAAACAUCACGUUUACGAUAGCAAUGAUUACUCUAAACUCAACCAGAAGAGAUUAAAGUAAACUCAUAAACCAAAGAACAAUAAAAAAAUAACUUACUAGAAUUUAGAAGUCGAAUUAGUGAAGAAUCCUAGGAGCAAGCCUCGGGUUAGGAGAACUUGAUCCCGUAGGUACAACCUCGGAGUAGACACCGAUAGGCCGGGCUUCCUCCGAUCUACACGUCCACUAUAUCUCUCUCAAUCUAGUAGAACUUAGAAGAACUAAUUCUACUCUCACAUUGGAUGCUAGGCCCUAAGUCUAUUUAGAGGAGAGGUAUUCCUUCGAGGGCUCCUCUCAACUCUAUGAUGAACUUGUUCUCCUCUAGGGGCCAGGGGGUCUGCUUAUAUAGUCCCCUCAGGUGAACGUGGGCCGUCGGAUCAAACCGACAUUGAUUGAAUGGUUAUCCUUGAUCCUUUAGGUCGGUGGAGCGUAAUCCCCGAAGCGAGUCCUGAUUGGACUCUAGGACAGGGCGAGCGCCCAAGGGGGGAGGGCGGGCGCCCUGCCCCCAGGCCCAUUCGCCUUCCCGUUCGUUCCCGUGGCUUCUGGAGUCUUCUAGAUAACAGAAAUUUGCACGGCACGUUAACAUCUCUAUGUAAACCCGACGUGUGGGCCUUUCCUCCAUAUUUCCUGAUAACCCCCUGCAGAAAUAGACAAGCACCAAAACUCGUGCAAUUCUGUCGGAUAAAAUCCUAAGUCUAGGUGUUGGUUGCAUUUGGAUCCUUUUCUUUAUUUAUUUGAUGAUUAUAUUUGAUACUUAAGGACCGUCAACAAUGAGUGCUCUAAAAAAAGAGAAAAGAUACGAGGAAAUAAAAAGGGGCAAGUGCCCGGAACCUCAAAAGAAAAAGUGAGAUGAGAGGUAAAAAUGGACAAGUGUCCGACAGUAGAAUUAUGGGUGCAGAAUACCCACCUGAGAGGAAAGAAAAAGAAAAUAUAGAGCAUCUCAUUCUCCUCAAAAGUUUCAAAAGAGCAAGAAAGGUAUGUAUCCCCUCAAAAGAGCAAAAGUAGAAUUAGACUUUCACCAUUGUUAUCACCAUCAUUACCAUACACCAUUCAUUCGCCACACAUGCACAUCUUGAUUUGACUUAUUGACUUGUUUCUUUAGAUCCAUGGUUUGACUAUGCAAUAAAUGUCUUGUAAGUAUGUAUACUUAUCUCCCACCUAUGAGCUCUAGAUAUCAAAGCCUUAUUAGAGUAGGGUGAGGGAGAAGGCAAUGUCACUAUGCCUUAUACCUCAAAUACUACAUACUUUGAGAGAGAAGGCAUAUACCAUUACUGCCUUGGUAAGGAUCAAGAAAUACCACAAAAGAGAGAACUGAGAGAGUCAUACAAGGAAUCUCUGAAUUUUAUUUGAAAAUCUGCAAAAAACUCCAGAGUUAUAGCUGAUCAGGAAUAAGAGACAUGGCACUUGACUAGACCGUUCUAUCUUUUAACUGCUCAAGAUAGAAGUGAAGGUUACAAGUCCCAUGGUGAAAGGUAGAAUAAGUAAGUUUUAAGUCUUGACGGUUUACUCUAACUCAAAGAUGAGACCUCAUUUGAAAGCAUGUGUACCGUCAACUUUUAAAGGUAUUACAGCAACUUCUAAUGCAUCACUGAGAUUAUCCUUGCUCAGGGAUGAGCAAGAGUUAAGCUUGGGGGAGUUUGUUGACGGUCCUUAAGUAACGAAUUUAAUCAUCAAAUAAACAAAGAAAAGGAUCCAAACGCAACCGACACCCAGACUUAGGGUUUUAUCUGACAGAAUUCCACGAGUUUUGGUGUUUGUUUAUUUCUAUAGGGGUUAUCAGGAAAUACGGAAGAAAGGCCCACACGUCGGGUUUACAUAGAGAUAUUAACGUGUCGUGCAAUUAUCCAACAUCUAGAAGAGUCUAGAGGCCACGGUAACGAACGGGAGACCGAAUGGGCCCAGGGGCAGGGCGCCUGCCCUCCCCCUUGGGCGCCCACCCUGGCCUGAGGGCCAAUCACGUUCAACUUCGCGGAUCAUGCUCCACCAACCUAAAGGAUCAAGGAAAACCGUGCGAUUAAUGUCGGUUUGAUCCGACGGCCCAUAUUCAUUUGGAAGGAGUAUAUAAGCAGACCCCCUGGCCCCUGGAGGAGAGCACCUCUCUGAAACCCUAAUUUAUUUAUCCAUCUUGGGAGAAGAAGCCUCUGAUCAAGCCCUAGAGCCACCACAUCAAUAGAUCUCUAGUUUAGCAUAUCUACAUAGGAUUAGAACUAGAAGGAGUUAAUCUUCGAUUGGUUUCUGGAUCUGUCAAAAGGAUUCUUGGUAAUUCCUCUACUGUUCUUUAAUUGUUCAUCAUUGUUCUUCAAUAUUAUGAAUAUGACUUUAUUCUACUUCAAUAUAUUGAUUAUGACUUUGCUCUACUUGUUUAUAUUUGCAAUUAUAUUGUUCUUAGUUUAUCAUAGUUAUAUGCUUGGCUUAGUUAGAUUGGAAUUAUAUACAUGUUUAGGAUCGUAUAGCGUUUAUCCAUGUGUACAGUGGGUAAAUGAUAAGUAUUGUGUAGGCGUGGUGCCUAUGCCUUAUUUAUCUGCGAUUGUACCCUAUAUACCGGAUCGCGGGGUAGUUCGUGGUAUUGACAGCUCCAUUGAUUCUUAUAUAGUCCCCCUCUCGUGUAUAGGGCUGGCAGAGCAACAUUAUUACAGGGGAGUGAUUGCUAUGUUUCUCAUCUUUCUUGAUAAUAUCACUAUGCGUGGGCGUAGUCCUGUCUCUCAAUGAUUGCCAAGUAAAUUGCACUAACUAUGAUAUGCUAGACAUAGUUAAGAAUAGCUUAGGAAAUAUUCUUGUAGUACAUCCUAAUUAGAUGCUAAUGACUUGCUAGAAUAUCUAUUAAGGUGCUUAUCAUAUUUGUAUGUGGCUAGUUAUGCUGAUCAGAUUAAUUAUCUUUGUCACCAUUCAUACUUUAUCUAUCUUUUAUGUGACACUUAUCCCUGUAUGAAAGAGAUAGAUAAAUGCUCUCAAUUAUACAUGCAAUGAUAGAUACUCAAUUCUAUAUUCCAUUCCAUAAUCAACAUUGAUGAUUAGAAAUCCCUUCCCAGUGGUAAAAAUAUAAAUAACGAUAUCUCGAAUACUUCCCGGUUAAAAUGCUACAUCGGUAUUAAUCUGUGUGCUUGCAUAUCUCAUUUAUUAUUCAUUUAGAAGAGCAAUUGCAUAUUUCAAUACCGCGUCUCUCAUGUCAUGCUGGGGAUGACAACUUGGCUUAAGUGGCAUGAGGGAUAGGUUUGGCAUUUUUGGCGCCGUUAUCAGAAAUAGAAAACUAAGUCUACUUUUGGUAGUGACGUUAAGAAUGCUCAACACCCAUCGCGCUAUUUAGUGCUCUACCGAGCCCUCGCGGCCAGCCUAUGGGCGACCGACGCGGCCGUCCGCCAUGCUUGUGAUUAAGGUAGAUGAGGGCAGUAGAGCGUGCACGGGUGCUAGCAAUGGAGUCGUAGAGUUGAGGCGAGGCCGCUGCGCAUCUUAGCGUGGGCUAGGACCCCCGCUAACGGCGACCGGAAGCACGGCCAAGCCGCCGGCAGCGUGGGAGACGAAGCUGACAGCGGGGGGCCGCUGUCAGCGACGUCGUGAGAGGGAGGGCGCGCACGGCGUGCGGGCCGAGUUGCUGGGCCGCCCAUGGCACAGUGUCGUUUUCCUUUUUCCUUUUUGUGCAAAUUUGAGUUAUGUUUUAUUUUGUGUAGAAAAUUAUGUGCUGAUCCAAAAAUAGUGAAAAUAUUUGGGUAUGUUCUAUGCAGUGAGCAGAACAUAGGAAAAAUGUUAAAUUCCAUUUUCUGAUACAUUGAACCUCUACAAAAAUUGUAUCCUUUAUUUAGUAAAUAAAACUUCCAUGAAUUUUAGGAAUUUAUUAAUAUGUCCAAAAAUCACCAAAAUUUGUGAGAUGUCUCUGAAUAUUAUUUCAUGGCUUCACACAAAAUUUGGUGGCAUUAGGAUAAUGUUUGAAUAAAAUAUUAAUAUACCCUUAGUUAGUAAUUACGUAAUAACCAUAAAAUAAUUAGAUAAUAAUUAGCUUAAUUUUCAAAUUAGUAUUUGAGUGAUUUUGGGAUUGUGUGAUGACUUGAAGUCAUUAACCUUAAUGACCUUUGACAUUCAAUUAUUGUUUGGUAUUAAUGAUUAAUUAUUGUCAUUAAUGCUUAAUUAAAGAUUAAUUAAGAUAAAAAGGAUUAAUAAUUAGUUAAUUAAGAAUAACUAUAAAUUAAGAAGGUCUUAGUUUACUAAUGCAACCUCUUGGGUAACAACACUAAAGUGAUAAACAACCUUAACUACUAUUUAACCUGUCUUUUCACCGAGAAGGAAAAUUGUACUCAACACGGUCCUUCUUUUGUGUUGUCAUAAGCAUAUCAUGAGCAUACAUUAUUUUUCGUAUAGUGCACGUGACCGAGGGAAUGACCAUUGAAGCGAACCCCGAAAUUGGUGUUCCGCUCAAAGAUGUUGGAUCCAAGACUUGGGAAGUCUUCGAGGAACCCACUCAGUUCUGCAACCAAGGCAAGCCCCGGAUGCAUUAACCCUUCCUUGAAUAUUUUAAAUCUUUCAUCACUUAUGAAUCAAAAUGCUGCAUUACGUAGUCAGGAAUUGGGAUAACCAAUUGUUGCAUUUACCACCUUGAUAUUUGUUAUCUUGUCCUUGGCACCUGUUUUAUUUUAAAAUUGUGUAGUGAUGCUUAGCCCUGCUUAUUAGAUAGGUUUUCAAUUAAGAAAGUUUGAAGGGUUGUUGUGGAAUACUUUUAUUGUCAAUGAUGUUUCAACUUGAGACCGGUCGGUGGACUUCCUUUAAGAAUGGAGUCUUAAAAUAGUGUCUCCAACUGUGUCGAUUAAGGACCGGUCCGUUGAUGGCCUAUUGGGUUGAGAAUUUAUAGUACUGGCCACCUGCUCUCGUUAAGCCCGGUCUUGUGAUUCCUCGACGAGAGCGGCUACUCACGCACUGGGCGUGGAGCAAUGGCGAGAUUAGUGUGUACAUUCCUGGCAAAAAUGGGCUGGACGGUGGAGUACUGUGCUCUCAGGUGCUGCGAACCCGGUCAGAUAUUGGGAAAGCAAAAUUUGGGUUGACAUAUGCAAGAUUCGGUUCUACAUAUGUCGGAUGGUUAGGAACUCCAGCUGGAUUGCUAAGUGGUUCGAAUCGUCGUUGCUCCUCGAUUGGAAGACUCAAUUCCUUUGACCAUCAUCGUAGUUAAAUAUGCAACUAAGUGGUGAAAUGGGAAAAGGGAAUGUCUCAUGGAGUUUGGAUACCAAUUCCCGGACUCAGAGUGACAUGAAGCUUUGGCCGUCGAAUGAACAACAUAGUUAUUAAGGACUAUGAAAUUACAGACUUGUCUGUAAAAAGCAAAUAGAUAGACUGACCUCAAAUUCCUUGGCCUCUCGAGGUGAGCAAUUCGUGGCUAAAACUUGAAAGUAAGGAUACACUAUUAGUAAGCUUUCAUGCAAAACAAUCUGGUUCCUUGCUUAGCCACGCCUUGUCUACCCUAAGCCUGCAUUCUUAAGUUCUCAUCUUUUCCUGUUGGGUAAGUCUUGUUGAGUACUCCACUACUCAGGGUUUUAUAACCCCUAUUGCAGGUGAUGUUCAGGUGCCGACUUGUUUCGGACCCUGUUGUGUGACCGUCGUCGAGGUUGACGAUGAAGAAGAGGGAGCGUGACCCGUGGGUAGGGUCUAUAAGUUUGUAAUCUUUGUAAUAUGGUUUAAGUUGCUCCAUUGGACCUGGCUUGUAAUAACACUUUACCUAAAUCCUACUUUGAUGAACCGCUUUUGUAAAUUAAAUUAUGUAAUACUUCUGUUGUUUUACUCUGAAAUGCUACUUUGGUCAUAUACUGUUGGAGAUACUGCAAUAUCUUUGCAAUGAAUGAUCCUGGUGUUAAGGUGGUCACUUGCUAUCCUAUAAGGGCGAGAAGAAGAAAUUCUCUUUAAUUGACCAUUGCUAGUGGUCAGGACGAGCUCAGUUAUUAUGCCACAGGUAGCAGUGGAAUGGGCAUCGUGUGAUGCUCAUCGAGCUUAUAGAGUAGAUGGAUCCCCGGCAUCACCGUCAGAGGUCCUUGGGACAAUGAUAGGUGUUGGUGAGCGCAACUACUUAGGAGGUUCUGCCACACAAUCCCAAUGAUCUUUAUGCCGAUUCCAUUCUUCCUGAUGCCUCUCUUCUUGCUGACGUCGAAACCGAUCCUCACGCUGUUGCCAAUUCUCUCUUUGUAGCCUAUGGGUGAUCACGACACCAGAUCAAGGAGGCCUUUCAGAAGUGCUACUUUCUUCGAAAAUACCUUCUCCUUUUGCGUCAUUGGUAGUUACCUGAUGUUGGGGAUCCACCGAUGCGUUCUCCUCGGCAAUUUCUGAUGUCAGGAUCUUAGUCUUAUCCUCAUCAUCCAACAUGUUAGUGGGAAAAGGGUACUGAUCAAUUUUCAUUGGCUUCUGAGUUUUAGAGCCAUUAAAUUUAACUCUCCUAGAUUUUAUAGCCGAUUGCAACUAUUGCCUGAACACUUUACAUUUAUUUGUAUUAUGUGAAGUUGCAUUAUACCAUUUGCAAUACUUGAUCUUCUUCAACACUUUUGCCGAUGGAAUCACAUGGUUUGGUGAUAAUUUAAUCUGGUCCUCUUGUAACAAGAGGUCGAAUAUACUAUCGGCUUUUGUGACAUAAAAAGCAAACAUUUCUAGUUCUUUCUGACGAAAAGGACAAGAUAUCGGCUUCUUUUUUCACCCACUCAGCUAUGUGUUAGCAAAUCUAAACGCACACAGGCUAGAGUAAGAUGUGACAAGUAUCAACAAAUUGUGGCGCCUAACCAGCACUGAUUAAAUGCAAGCCUAAGCUAUUACUAGGAUAGGGUGUCAGGCUACCCUGAGCAAUGGCUCGAGAAAUGCUAAGCAACGCUAAACUCUAGCAGUGACGCAAGACGUACAAAGGGUAACUCUCCAAGCGCAAAGGUACCACUGUAGCACUUCAACCGUGGUGAGUAUCCAUGUGUCGUAAUUUAUAGUUCGCUCACAGGAAGCGGACUAAGACUCUCUUAAUAAAUAUUUGGAUGGAUAUCCGUGGUUUGUGUCUACUCAAUCUAAGUUCACUAGUGCUAAUAGGGGGGUAAGAAUAGCAAGAUAGAAUAAUAGAUAAGUCAGAUAAAGGUAAUUAAAAAUAAUUGGUAGUGAGCUAGUUAGUUGGGAGGACAACGAGUGAGUAAGGACUCCUAUGUAUCUAACUCUACUUCUAUGUUCUAAUCCUGAUCAAUGUAAAUGACUAAAAUAGACUAGUAUCCAAAUAGUCUUGUGUGGUGGAAGUCGACUGCAAAGGAGGCCAAAACUCCUAUGCAAGCAGACUUUUGUCUUAUGGCGCCUACAGACCGUACCCGACAUGAAUAGAACCUACUGGGAAGCAGAGGUCUGUCAUGCUUCGCCGCCACCUGCUAACACGUUUGAUACGGUGGCAUCCACUAAUAAGCGCUAGCCUAAGCACCUCGCUUACACUAGUCUUAUAACUUCAACUAUCACGUAAAUAGCCAAAGCCCCUAAUGGUAGUGGAACACACACAAGGUGUUGAAGACACUAAUCUAACUAAGGCAGCUACACUAAUAAGACUAAGACAGAACACUACUACAAGUAUAGUAAUGCACUAAGCAAUACUCAAAGUAAAGACUUGAAGCAAAUACUUAGUAAAGUAAAGAAAGACUAUAUUGAUAUAGAGAAUGUAAUACAAGAGAAAAGGUACAAGAGCUAUACCAGACUCUCCAAAAGAUAGCUCUAGAGACCGAGCUUCGCUCGACUCGACGCUAACUCCCACUCUAGACUAGACUACACUACACUUGAUCUCCCAAGUGUGAUUUGGAAAUGAAAAUGAGAGAUGGAAGAUGCGAGGUGGAGGACCCCUCCUUAUAUAGAGGUGAGAGAGGGGGUGCCAUGUUAGCGAUCCGCGUGCUCCUUCCUUCUCCACCCUUGGAUGCACCGACCUCCCAACCGCCUUAGAUGGACGGUUGGAGCAUUGCCACACAUGAGGAAGGUCGGUGGGAGUGAACCGACUCCAGAUGGGGCCCACAUGUAGGUCGGUCGACCUUCCCUAUGGCUGAUAGUGGGUCCCACUGACAUUCUAGAAGGUCCUUAGGUCGGUGGGAGGCUAGGCUAGGUGGCAUCACCCAAUUGGUCGGUUGGUCGAUCGACCUUUGGUGCCCCUGGCCCACCACAGGCCUCCUAGUGGUGUCCCCACUUGUCAUGUGAAGUGUUGUCCAAAAUUGAGUCUAGUUGCACACUUGCUUGCUUCCAUGUAGGCCUAAGGAUCCAUGUGCUAAGUGUUUAAACCGUUGAGGGCAAGCACACUUGGAUCCAAGGGUUGAAAUUGACUCCUUGGAGUAUGCCAUGGCUCAUGCUAUGGAGGGGAGCCCCUGGUGGGCCCAAUCCUUGGUCGACCGACCUAGGUUAUGGGGCCCUCAGGGCUCAUUUCCUUCUUCCCUGCAUUGAACAAGCUACGAGUACAAGUGGAACUUUAUUAGUGAUAAAUAUGUUCAUGUGAUGCUUAUCUUCCUUCAAUCGAGGACUGUUGAUGGGCUUUUGAGUAUAUAGAACUGGGUCUUAUUUCCCGUCAACAAGAUGCCCCAAGCUUGACCUUUGCUCGUCCCGAGCAAACAUUCAAGACUUGGUUCGAUUGGAUUAGGUAUUAUCACUAAGUUAACCUCUUGAUAGUACUAAGUGCACAACAAAGAACUUCUCCUUGAAUGGAAAACAUAGCAAUGCUAACACACUAAUGUUACUUUAGCACCCAUGGGGCUUAUAGCAUUAACUCAGUCUUGGGAUGUUGAGAGAUAGAAUAGCUUUGAUUGGACAUCUACUUUUCUUAUUCCUUAGCAAGUUUCAUGCCAGAGGUUUUUUUGUUAAGUUUUUCAAAAGAAAUCUUAAUGUUCCUCAUAUGGUUUCUCUCAAGUCACUCUACUGGUGUAUAAAUCCUUACCGAGGCAUAUGAGUAAGUUGCCUUCUCUAUGUAAUCCUACUAUAAUAAAGGCUUAUGUGGAGCUCAAGGUAGGAACAAGGUGAUGGCGUAGUUACAUUGCAUAUGUUGUGAAGUCAAACCUUGGAUCCUUGGAAGAAGAGUAGUGUCUGUUGACGGUCCUUAUGUAUCAAAUUUAAUUAUCAAAUAAACAAAGAAAAGGAUCCAAAUGAAACCAACACCUAGACUUAGGGUUUUAUCUGACAGAAUUCCACGAGUUUUGGUGUUUGUCUAUUUCUGCAGGGGAUUAUCAGGAAAUAAGGAAGAAAAGCCCACAUGUCAGGAUUACAUAGGGAUAUCAACACACCGCGCAAUUUUCUACCAUCUAGAAGACUCCAGAAGCCACGGGAAGAAAGCAGAGGCCGAAAGCGGCCAGGCCCAGGGCGCCCGCCCUCCUUCCCUGGGCGCCCGCCCUGACCUGGACUCCGUUCGGGACUCUCUUCACACACGAUGUUCCACCAACCAAAUGGAUCAAGGAUGAUGUAGUACCACAUCGCCUAUCGACCCAAAAAUGAAUAGAGGAGGGGGACUAUAUAAGGAGACCCCCCUGGCCCCUGGAGAAGACAAGAAGUUAUCAUAGAGAUUGAGGGGUGCCCUCGAAGGAAAACAUCUUCUCUAAAUAAUAUUUUUUUUAGGCUUAGCAACCAAUGUGAGUAGAAAUAGAUCUUCUAGUUUCUACAAGAUUGAGAGAGAUAGAGUGGAGGUGUAGAUCGGAGGAAGGCGGCCUGUCGGUGUCUACUCCGAGGUUGUACCUACGGGAUCAAGUCUUCUAACCCGAGGCUUGCUCCUAAGAUUCUUUAGUAAUUCGACUUCUAAUUCUAGUAAGUUCUUGUUUUAUUGUUCUUUGGUUUAUGAGUUUACUUUAAUCCUCUUCCGGUUUAGUAUUAGAGUAAUCAUUGCUAGCGUAAACUUGGUGUUUAGGCUAGGGUACUCAUAGAUAUCCCCUGACUAGCUGGACCGUGGUAGUAGCGAGGAACAUGACAUUUCCGAGUUACCUUUGUAUCCCAUAUCUUGUUUGCAGGAAGGGUAGGGUUUAUAGGUGGGGGUCGAACAUCCUUUGUGGUGUCUAGAUUCCAUAAGCUUCCCCAAUAGAACAGUAGAUCAUCCUUACCAAGGUUAGAACGAGACUACGGUUGCAGUCUUCUCUAUACAUCACUCACAUCGAGAAACAUUCUUUGUAGCCUAAAGGGGUAGUAGCAAUAGAUUUGGUUAGUCAGAUGCACCCUUUCUCCCAGUGGUAAAAAUAUAAAUACGAUACUCUGGAAAACCUCCCGGGUGAAAUGCUCACCGAUAUCCGUGUGCUUGCAGAUCAUUUCCUUAUUGCGUUACCAAAUAUCAACAAGCAUUUCUGGCGCCGUUGCCGGGGAGAAAGACGGUUUGCUGAGAUAACUUUGAGUCUUGCUAUUAUCUUGUAUUAUACUUUUAUUCUUUUCUCUUUUUAUCUUUAUGGAUAACUUAAAUUCCAUACCUAUUAUUGAAUUCUUUGCACCUUCGGAGACCAGCCAUAGACCAUGGGAGUCAACAAGUCCUGCCCCUAAUUAUGAUCUGUGUCCGGAGUUGAUUGCAAUAGGUCAAAACCAACCCUUAUCUAUAGCUGAGGUCCUAUCUUUUAAUCAAGAAGAUAAUGCACUUUUAGCUACACCAAGGGAAUCUGUUAAUCUUUCUAUAAAUUCUGGUUUAGACCUAGCCCUACAAGACCAUGUUUUUCCUAGAUAUUUUCACAUUGGUCUUAAUCAUAUAACCUUUGGUAGAGUCUUUCUUCCUUUAUCUAUUAGUAAAGGAAGGUAUGUCUUCAUUUGUGGACAUCCUUCUUGCACUAGUCUUCAUAAAAAUAUCUUAGAGAUAGAGAAGGAAUCAUCUCCCAGACAAGGAAAGGAAGUUUCAAUAGCUGAUUUCCAAACAUUUCAAUCUCAUAAUACGGCUAUCCAACCCAUCCUUGAGCCUAAUAAUCUCUACUAUGCUCUUUCUCUUGAACCUCCCGAUAAUCCUAUGAAUCUCUCUAGACAUCCCAUGAAUAAGAAGGAGGAUCGAGAAGAGCAACAUCAAUGGCUAGAGGGCAUUAAAAAUCCAUGUGCUAUCACCAUUGAAUGGAUGGAUAAAACAAACUUGAGAGACAAUCCUAGAGGAAUUUUAAGCAUUCAUGAAGAAUCAUCCUUGGAGUUUGAGAAUGAGAGAAACAACAGUGAGCAUGGAAGUUAUUUCAUAAAUACCUUACCAAGUCCUUGCUCAUAUAAAACAUCUCCCCAAUCAAUUGGUCUCUCCAUCCUUACCACAUUUGAGAUCUCCAACCCCCUUUUCCUUUCUAUUUAUAAACACUUUAAAAGGGUGGUUGUCGAUGCAUAUGUCUAUAAUAAAUAUUGCAGAUCUCGUUGAGUUCAUCUUGAUAUAGGUCAGCGUCGGAGGGGAAACCACUUCACCAACAUAACUUGAUGGUUUCCCAAGGAUAAGCUUAGCGUCCCUAAACAAGCACUUAUCAGAUCGUAACAUGAACUUUUAAUUAUUUGCAACAUUGCCUUAUUGAGCAUAUUGAGAUAAUUAUAGAAAUAUUCCUUCGGGUAUUCUUGCCACUAACCUUUCUAGGAUUGGAGCAAGAAGAUCGGAUGAAUGACAAGCACAAGGUAUGUCCAACCAACCAUCAUACAACAUUGAAUUAAAUUCAUCCAAACUUGAAUUUCGCAAAAUUCAAGCUUGGGGGAGUACUUUACAUAAAAACAUCCUUUGCCAUGUUGCUAUGUUGGUUGUCCCUACCUUUGAGAGAUGCUCAAUUUGUUAAGUACUAAUCACACUACUUCAUCUCCACUUGAGUAGAUCUCUAUAAAUGCUGUCAUGCUACCUUUGUCUAUUUACUAGCAAGUGUUGGUUUGGAAGUACUCGACAUACUUCCAUUGGCAUUUAAAUUAAGCAUGGUGCUUAGGUUAAAUAGCCUUCCUUAAUCUGAUUAGACAUGGAGUCUAGUUUGGUUACGGAACUAAAAAAACUGCUUGAGUAGAUAUUGGUAUAUUUUGUGGGACUAACCCCUGCAGGAAAACUUUCAAUAUCAACCUGGGAAGUCCUGAGAUAAACUCACAUUGGAGAUGAAGAAAGUGACACAUGAAGUUUAAUAAUUUGCACAAGAAAGACGUAGCUCAUAAGAGAUGAUUCAUGGAGGGUGCCACAAACACGAUGCACAACCGCUAAGGAAAGCUUCCACAAGGUGAUACUAUACCAUCACUCUUCAAGUAAGGUAACACCUUAAGGUACUGGACUAUCGCUUUUAUAAGCUUCUCCUUGGUUCUAGCAUACACAUGAAUAAAAGAGACAAACAUGUAUGAUUUGUAGCUCCAAAUUAACCAACCCGAUUAAUUCAACAUGUUUAGUCCUUUAAUCUUUGUUCUUAGUACUACCUUCGUGAUCCCACGCUCUUAAUCAUAUAAGCUAAAGUAUUGCACAUUCAAUCUUUGGGAGAUAUAAACAAAACAUAAAUAUAGAUAGAUUAUCUUUCCAUUAGGUUGAGCCAUCUGAUCUGACAAAUGUUUUAAAUGCUACACUCAUGAUCUUAUUAUCCAUCAACUUUGUCUUGCUCACUAUGCUUAAGGUUAGAGAAGAACAAAUACACUUUUGGUUCUGUUGGUGUUUUCCACCAACAGGGCCCAUGCACUUGAUCUCUGCCUUGUCUCUAUGAAUAGGUACACUUCAAACAAAACAUGGAGGAGUUUUACAACUCCGAGAUUGCACCAAGUGAAGAACCGGGAUCUACGAGCACAAACACAAUGGAGAUCAGACACUUAGUUUCCCAAAGGAAAUAUUGAAGAACCUCUGUGUCCGAGUUGGUACCUUGUACGCUCUAGCAAACUUCGUGGUGAUAGAGACUGGUAGUGAGGAGAGGGUACCCAUCAUCUUAGGGAGGCCAUUCCUAAAUACCAGAGCUGACAUCUACGCUAAUGCUGCCAAGAUCAGUUUCUACAUCAAGGGGAAGAAGGAGACUUUCUUUCAAGAACAAGACUACACAAAUUUCAGAGCAAUCCCGACAUGAACCAAGGAAGAGGACCAAUAGGAGGAACAGGAACAAGCAAAUGUGGACGGAGUCAACUAAGAUGGUCACUGCAGCUCAAGGAGGUCAAGAUCGUCGACUCAAGUCACCUUUCCUGAUCAAGAAGGACGACCCUGGUGUUCCAAGCAUUGAGUGCACAAUCAAUGGAUACUCUUUUCAGAAGACACUCUACGACACCAGAUCUGACGUCAACAUAAUGGCCGUAGUCACUUAUCAGCUCCUGCAUGGAACCAUGCCCCUACAACCAACAUACAUUCAGCUCCAGAUGAUUUUCAGGUCAUUGGCAUGGGAGAAGACGAGUACGAUCCACCCACCAUCAUUGGAAGACCAUUCCUCGACACCAUCAAAGCCAUCAUUUAUAUUGGAACCGGAGAAGUCCACAUGCACUUUCCUCUGAAGAAGGCGACGCAACCGCAACCAGAGGAGGCAAAUCAUCAAGGAUGGAUGGGCAGACUACGAAGGAGAAGUAGUAAGGUCUGAAGACAUACAGCUUGAACAGAAUUGUCCCGAGGAGACCGUAGCAUCGAGUCAGGUGUGGAAAGAGAAGAUAGUUAUACAAGAAGAGGAGGCGCCGCCGGAAUCACCGACUACGCCACCUAGCGAAUCCCAGGACGACUGAGAAAACGGAGAGUCCCGUUCGGAGGACUUAAAAAUACCGAACGCCUUGCCAAGAGGUAAACUUGGUAGUUAUCCUUUUCCAUUCAAUAGUUUGCUUAGUUAAUCAGGUUUAUGCUAUCUUGAAAAGAAAAUAAAAAUGUUAAAAAAAUAGUAAGCCCCAUGUGAGUAUGCUCAUGGCGUAAAACCCAUAAGGACAUUCACUGUGGUGGCAUAAAAAUAAAAUAAUUAAGUUUUCAUCUUACAAUAAAAAUAUAAAAAUAAUAAGUGCAUGAUCCUGCUAAAUAAGUAACAUUUAUUGAGGAGGUUCAACAUGAUAAAGGCUAGAUAUUUAUGCUAACACUUAACUAGUUCCACAAAGCUUUGUUGUCUAUUUGAGCUCCACAUAAUUCAAGGAUCAAAGAAGACUAGCAGACGGAGGACAUCCUAAUCGCUGUCAGGGUGUUGCCGACAUUCAAAUACACCUCCACCACCUGCUAGCUACAUCAGAAGAAAUUACGUCAAAAUCCAUCUUGGGGGAGAGCACCCCCAUUUAUCCAGCUAAGUGUUUUUACUCGCGUUUAUAUUUUACUCAAAUAAUAAAAAGAUGCAUAAUCAUGAAAACCCAACUAAAGAUUUUGUGCUUUUAUAUAUAUAUAUAUAUCUUUUCUUAGUUUGCUAAAUGAAUAAAUAAAUAAAGUUUGCUAUGAACCCUCAAGAUAAACUCUAGCAUGGAAAUAAUGAAUAGUUGCUCUGCCAUGACUAGUUCUUAAAAUUGAAAUCUCUCUCAAGUUUAGGCAUGACUGUUAUGAAGUAAGAUUUGCUCUAAACCUGAACUUGUGGGAAGAGUACUUGAUCUAAAGUCUAAGUUGUUAACGGAUAUGAUAUGGGAAGGUUGAGGUGCUAUUUAUCUGUUCCUAGAGAUGCUAGAAUUCUGGAGAAUUUUAUCUUUGAAAAACCUUUAAAAUAUUACAUGAUGAGUUCCUGUAUGAUGAGAGUUUAAGAUGCUACCACAACGAUAUAGACAUGCUUAUUAGACUUUGAGCCACACAUUUACUUUUUACUCCUUAUGAGCAUUAUGUGUGGUCAAGCUAUGUAGACCCUUAGGAGUUUGUCAUGUGGUUAAAAUCAAGAUUCACUUGCACGUUCACUCAUAUAUGCUACUUCUACUCCGGAAGUAGCAUCCACAUACAUCCACUCAUUUCCAUCUCCAGAUUCACCCAAAAGAAUUCUACUCCUAAUCCGGGAGAGAAUAGCCAAAAACAUUAUCCUAUCCCUAUUAUUCUCUGUGAAAUAAAUGCUCCAGUUAUUUUGGUUACUACCACUUGCUACAUUAUUUCAGGAGAUGAGUGCUCUAAAAAAGGGAGAAAAAAAGAGAAAAAAAAUACGAGGAAAUAAAAAGGGGCAAGUGCCCGGAACCUCGAAGAAAAGAAAAAGUGAGACGAGAGGUAAAAAUGGACAAGUGUCCGACAGUAGAAUUAGGGGUACAAGAUACCCACCUGAGAGAAAAGAAAAAAAAGAAAAGAAAAUAUAGAGCAUCUCAUUCUCCCCAAAAAGCUUCAAAGUGCAAGAAAGGUAUGUAUUCCCUCAAAAGAGCAAAAGUAGAAUUAGACUUCCACCAUUAUUAUCACCAUCAUCACCAUACACCAUUCAUUCACCACACAUGCACAUCUUGAUUUGAUUUAUUGACUUGUUUCUCUGGAUCCAUGGUUUGACUAUGCAAUAAAUGUCUUGUAAGUAUGUAUUAGUUGUCUCCCACCUAUGAGCUCCAGAUAUCAGAACCUUAUUAGAGUAGGGUGAGAGAGAAGGCAAUAUCACUACGCCUCAUACCAAAAAUACCACAUACUUUGAGAGAAGGCAUAUACCACUACUACCUUGGUAAGGAUCCAGAAAUACCACAAAAGAGAGACUAGAGAGAGUCAUACAAGGAAACUCUGAGUUUUAUUUGAAAAUCUGCAAAAAACUCCAGAGCUAUAGCUGAUCAAGAAUAAGAGACAUGGCACUUGACUUGACCGUUCUAUCUUUUAACUGCUCAAGACACAAGUGACGGUUACAAGCCCCAUGGUGAAAGGUAAAAUGAGUAAGUUUUAAGUCUUAACAGUUUAUUCUAACUCAGAGAUGAGAUCUUGCUUGAAUGCGUGUGUACUUUUAAGGCAUGAAACCACUGCAGAAACUCUUGAGUUCAUCCUUGCUCAGGGACGAGCAAGAGGUAAGCUUGGGGGAGUUGUUGACGGUCCUUAAGUAUCAAAUUUAAUUAUCAAAUAAACAAAGAAAAGGAUCCAAAUGAAACCAACACCUAGACUUAGGGUUUUAUCUGACAGAAUUCCACGAGUUUUGGUGUUUGUCUAUUUUUGCAGGGGGUUAUCAGGAAAUAAGGAAGAAAGGCCCACAUGUCAGGAUUACAUAGGGAUAUCAACGCACCGCGCAAUUUUCUACCAUCUAGAAGACUCCAGAAGCCACGGGAAGAAAGCAGAGGCCGAAAGGGGCCAGGCCCAGGGCGCCUGCCCUCCUUCCCUGGGCGCCCGCCCUGACCUGGACUACGUUCGGGACUCUCUUCGCACACGAUGUUCCACCGACCUAAUGGAUCAAGGAUAAUGUAGUACCACAUCGCCUACCGACCCAAAAACGCAUAGAGGAGGGGGACUAUAUAAGGAGACCCCCCUGGCCCCUGGAGAAGACAAGAAGUUAUCAUAGAGAUUGAGGGGUGCCCUCGAAGGAAAACCUCUUCUCUAAAUAAUAUUUCUUUUUAGGCUUAGCAACCAAUGUGAGUAGAAAUAGAUCUUCUAGUUUCUACUAGAUUGAGAGAGAUAGAGUGGAGGUGUAGAUCGGAGGAAGGCCGGCCUGUCGGUGUCUACUCCAAGGUUUUACCUGCG
Molecule: long non-coding RNA, 53398 nt
Filed under: Sorghum bicolor (sorghum)
Lineage: Eukaryota; Viridiplantae; Streptophyta; Magnoliopsida; Poales; Poaceae
Description: long non-coding RNA (SBIC_LNC016120)
Source: RNAcentral